CCCGGCCCCCCGCCAUCUGGUGCUGACACGGGUUCUGCGGGCCUUGGUAUGGUCACCUGCUGCUGCUCCUGUGGCCACCGCUACCCAUGAAACGCUUCGGCAGUCUCAGGGGGAACAAGAAACACAAGGACCCAAACCGGAGCACGGAGAGGCGCCAGUCGGAGCCCCACGGCCUUUUCGGUAGGACGCUGCCCUUUGCCUGGUUUUCUGCCAGUCUGUGCUGUAGGCGGGGAAACCCCACGGCGUGGUGCGUGUGUGUGUGUGUGUGUGUGUGUGCGUGCACGCACAGCCUCCUGAGUGGUAGCUGUGUGCAGGUGUAAUUGCCAGGCAGUAGUUAGAGGACUAGGUUGGCAGGUGUCUCCGAAUUGAUGGGAGUGCUUACCGUGAACUGCCCGACGUUCCUCUGAGACCCCUUCCUGUGUCUCACCCCACCUGGCCCAAUGAGGUUGGUGAUCGAUUGGAUUGUCAUUCAUUUAGGCAAAACCCGCAGCUUGGGAGAAAGAAAGAAUGGACUGGAACUGUUAUUUUCGGCUAUUAAGGAUGAAAUGCGUGUGUGCAGAGAAAGCUCGUGUUGGGGGUCAACGGGAUGGACCCUUCGCCCUAUGGCUGAGCAAUCGGACCAGGGGUUCACGUAGGAGGGGAAGGCACCUGCCUGAUUCGUGUCCCCGGGGAGAGGGGUUUGCUUCGCGAUCUCCCUGGCGUCUGGAACCUUCCACGGCUCCCCCACACAUGGGGUUGGGACCAGUGUGACGGACUGGGUCAUGAGGGGCAGCGUCUGUGAUUCAGUACCUCCAGUGACCUGUGGAUUUGGGGUCAGUUUUCCCUCCGGCUGGGUGGCGUGACAGGAAUUCCAGAGCAUUCUGAGCUCCCUGGAGGCGUGGCUAAGACCUGCCCAUUCAAAAUUCGAUGGGACACUUCUUCAUUUUAAGUUCCCGGUGGCCACGGCCUGUCUGAUGCAGGGUGUUCCUGAGUACCCCGCUGUGGGAGGGACCGAAAGGGCCCCACGCACAUCCCGGGGGUAGUGAAGAUGCCAAUCCAAUUGUACCAACUACUUCCAGAAAGCCUCUGGGGGGCCCAGUGCGAGGCUGGUGACCCUGGGGCGUGCGGGCAGAGGAAACAGCAACUCUGGAACCAGGGAGUUUUUGACCUUGUGGAGGAACAUAGGAAUAGUGUCUGAUCGGAUGCUACGGUGGAGUUGGGUACGAACACGCCUGCCCUUGCCCCGGGGGCGAAUGGCAGAUGUCUUUGGACUUGAUUCAUAGACUGUGGUUUACAAAGAAGACUCUUGCUUUAAAUAAUAAAGUAAUAAACACUCAUUUACCUUAGAAUUAAAUCUGAACCCAAUAUUUAACUAAAAGUCUCGUUUUGCUAACGGGGAAGGGCAGGGCCAUUAUUAAAAGCCUGUUACUUGCCAGACUGUGGUUUCCCCUCCCGCAUUUCAAAUUUGGCUGUCAUCGUGUCUCCUACGCUCCUGAGAUCAAAAAUUAAUAUUUGCGUGUCGACCAAGUUUUAUAAGCGCUCACGUGCACAUGGCCGGCCCUGACCAGGGUCGGGGACAUCGGGGCUCCCUCCAGAAGCUUCCUCUGGGGUUCAGGAAGCAGGCGGAGGCCACUCGAGGCGGCUAGAGCCCGGGCAUCCAGGUUUGUGGUGUAUCCUGUCUUUCCUUUUGUCAGAGUCUCAGGGUGCGAGGAGCUGAGAGCAAGGCCAGGGGGCAGGUGUCGGCCCCUCAGACUAUGCCGGGCGGGGGGACGGCGAAUGAAGAAAAAACAGUCGGAGAGUGUCCACUGGGUGUCCCCUCCCCUCCGUGCCUUGCUGACCCUCACCCGCCUGUCAAGACUCCGCUUAACCUUCCCUUCCCUAAAGCCCGGUCACCCGUCCUGUGAUCCCCUGGCUUCUUGGGGACAGGGAUAUGUCCCCAAAGCAGCCUUCUAUCCCACGUCCUCACCACAGACUGGCUGGUUAUGGGACGCAUCGUUCCUGGUUGGUGAGUAGGGAUCGCUUCAGGUUUUUUGUUUUUCUAAAUUCCCUUUCAGCCGGUCCACUCCUUCCUACGGUGGCCAGGGAAUUUUAGAGGAGGCCCCUUCUUUCUCCAGAAAGCUUCCGUGAGGGUCGUGACGAUGUUUGUCCUUCUCUUCCAUUUUCCUCAAAUCGAGCACACGCAGGUGGCUGGUGUGGGCUCCUCACUCUCCGUGGCCGGGCCGUACUGUCCCAGGAGCCACGGACUUGUCCACGGAGACACAUCCUUGCCGCACACACGUGCAGGUGCACACACUCACACGCAGCUGUCCCCACGGCCUCCUGAACAACUGAGAGAGAAGGAGAGUCAGGCCACGGCCAACCGGCCGUUACAGAGCCUGGAGGGCAAUCGUAUUCGCCUGGAUGGCAUUUUCCUUCGGAAGUACGCGGCUCUCGUCGGGCUUUUGAACACUUCAAGGCUUGUGAUAAAACACCCUUGAAGGUUCGGAUUCACGAAAAGCUCAUCCCUUCAAACCCCCUCAGAGUUUUGUAUCUGCCCAGACCCCCUGCAAAGCUAAGCAGCCGCCUCAGAUUUUCACGCUCCGUGUGAUACAUGAGUGAUGAUGUCGACUUCAGCCUUUUCUUGAAGCCUCUUUGGUCAACAGACAUCCAGAUUAUGUUGACAAAGAGUAUGUGGCAAUGCGAAUAAAAAAUGCAAAAGGAAGAUUAGGAAAGGAUUAUGCUCAUCAGAUAAAAGAGGGCUGGCUGCAGUAAUUUUUCUCCCCUCUGCAAUUAGAGGGGACUAAUUAAAAGAGGUAGGGCGGGCGCCUGGGUGGCUCAGUCGGUUGGGCAUCCGACUUCGGCUCGGGUGGUGAUCUCGCAGUCCGUGAGUUCAAGCCCCGCGUCGGGCUCUGCGCUGACAGCUCGGAGCCUGGAGCCCGCUUCGGAUUCUGUGUCUCCCUCUCUCUCUCUGCCCCUCCCCCACUCAUGCUCUUUCAAAAAUAAAAAUAAAAACCAUUAAAAAAAAAAAAAAGAUAGAUGUACCUGGAGUCUUAAGAGACCCCUUCUGGGGACCGCACUGGAGACAGGAAGUGCGUCAGGAAGCUGGCACUCCGUCCCCAUCCGGGAGGCGUCUAAGUAACACCAAAGACUGAAACCUCUUUCUGGUGGGUCUUUGCUUUACAACGAGCUUCCCCUUCCCAUGACCCUCCUCAGGAUAAGUAUGACCACUUCUGGAGCAAAACUUCAGGGUUCCUCAUGCCCAGGUCCCCUCGUCACCCCACACUGCCUGGCCCAGCUUGUCCUCUGUGUGUGCAGGCAGGUCGCACAGCCAGGCAUGGUGCUGGGGGAAGUGUCCCUGGCUGUCUGCCUCAAAGCAGCGGGCCUGGCUGGAAAGGGACAUCUGUGGUUCGUCCUGCCUCCCCCAGCUGUCCCCCUCUGCUCCCUGCCUGUCCCUCAUGCUCUUCGCGUAAUCGCGGUUGCCCGGAAAGACCCCAGUGUCCAUUCAGUGUCUUGUUCAGAUACUCGUACUUCCCUCUCCCUAACGGAAAAUUGCAAGCGUGUAGAGACGUAGGGAGAACGGCAUCAUAUAGCCGUGUUCAAGUUCAGCAGCGCCCAGUGCUCUGCCAAUCCCACCAGCGUCUGGGGGCACGGUGGUGAGCAAGACACACGCCACCGUCACAGAGGCAGACACCUGAGAUGGUUUUUUUUUUUUUAAUUGUGGUCAAAUAAAACUUAGCGCCCUACCCGCUUUUNNNNNNNNNNNNNNNNNNNNNNNNNNNNNNNNNNNNNNNNNNNNNNNNNNNNNNNNNNNNNNNNNNNNNNNNNNNNNNNNNNNNNNNNNNNNNNNNNNNNNNNNNNNNNNNNNNNNNNNNNNNNNNNNNNNNNNNNNNNNNNNNNNNNNNNNNNNNNNNNNNNNNNNNNNNNNNNNNNNNNNNNNNNNNNNNNNNNNNNNNNNNNNNNNNNNNNNNNNNNNNNNNNNNNNNNNNNNNNNNNNNNNNNNNNNNNNNNNNNNNNNNNNNNNNNNNNNNNNNNNNNNNNNNNNNNNNNNNNNNNNNNNNNNNNNNNNNNNNNNNNNNNNNNNNNNNNNNNNNNNNNNNNNNNNNNNNNNNNNNNNNNNNNNNNNNNNNNNNNNNNNNNNNNNNNNNNNNNNNNNNNNNNNNNNNNNNNNNNNNNNNNNNNNNNNNNNNNNNNNNNNNNNNNNNNNNNNNNNNNNNNNNNNNNNNNNNNNNNNNNNNNNNNNNNNNNNNNNNNNNNNNNNNNNNNNNNNNNNNNNNNNNNNNNNNNNNNNNNNNNNNNNNNNNNNNNNNNNNNNNNNNNNNNNNNNNNNNNNNNNNNNNNNNNNNNNNNNNNNNNNNNNNNNNNNNNNNNNNNNNNNNNNNNNNNNNNNNNNNNNNNNNNNNNNNNNNNNNNNNNNNNNNNNNNNNNNNNNNNNNNNNNNNNNNNNNNNNNNNNNNNNNNNNNNNNNNNNNNNNNNNNNNNNNNNNNNNNNNNNNNNNNNNNNNNNNNNNNNNNNNNNNNNNNNNNNNNNNNNNNNNNNNNNNNNNNNNNNNNNNNNNNNNNNNNNNNNNNNNNNNNNNNNNNNNNNNNNNNNNNNNNNNNNNNNNNNNNNNNNNNNNNNNNNNNNNNNNNNNNNNNNNNNNNNNNNNNNNNNNNNNNNNNNNNNNNNNNNNNNNNNNNNNNNNNNNNNNNNNNNNNNNNNNNNNNNNNNNNNNNNNNNNNNNNNNNNNNNNNNNNNNNNNNNNNNNNNNNNNNNNNNNNNNNNNNNNNNNNNNNNNNNNNNNNNNNNNNNNNNNNNNNNNNNNNNNNNNNNNNNNNNNNNNNNNNNNNNNNNNNNNNNNNNNNNNNNNNNNNNNNNNNNNNNNNNNNNNNNNNNNNNNNNNNNNNNNNNNNNNNNNNAGGUUAGGCGGCUGUAAGCAGUGUGUUUGCGGGGGCUUUUGUCCUCCGGGGAGCCCUGGUCUGCACAGAGAACGCGGAUCCCGCACAAAUGAUGCCGGUACCGCGGACGUGUGAUGGGCGUGAAUGGACAGUAGGACAAGAUCACAGAGCCGGGGGAGGGCCGAGAGAAAUAGGGAGAAGAAGCACUCAGGGAAGGGGCUGGACUUAAGCACAGUGACUCUGGACAGUGAUGGAGAAGCUUCCUAUGAUUCACUGACUCGGCGCGGGGCUGGAAUGCCGGGUUGGGGUCACACAACUGCUGCUCUGUCAUCCAGACCCUUCCAGAAGGACCCCCCCACCACCAGGGUGGGUCUAAGGGCCCCCUUGGCACCUGAAAGCAUCGUGUGGGCUUCCUGCCUCUAGAUGAGAUGAGAACAUCGUACAUUUACGGGUGCCUGGGUGGCUCGGUCGGUUAAGCGUCUGACUCUUGGUUUCGGCUCAGGUCACGAUCUCAGGGUUUCGUGAGUUCGAGCCCCGCAUCGGGCUCUGUGCUGGUGGUGCAGAACCUGCUUGGGAUUCUCUCUCUCUCUCUCUCUCUCUGCCUCUCUCUCUCUCUCUCUCUGCCUUUCCCCUACUCGUGCUGUCUCUAUCUCCCUCAAAUAAACUUAAAAAUUAAAAAAAAAAUGCGGUACAUUUAAAGAGCAGCACGAACUCCGUCCUCAAGUAAUAAUUUGCCUUUGAUGAUGGAGAAGAAAAAACAUACAAGGUGCGAGUACUCAAGAACAAAUCAACAGGGGUGUUCCCUGAUCAUCACAACGGCUUCUUGUCCCACUGUGUCCCUGGGCCCAGGCUGUGGCCCUGGGACUGCUGGCCUCCACAGGUACCUCAUGACAGUGGUGGUGGUCCAGGGUUUAAGUCCCUAGGAGGGAGUGUGUCCCCUCCCGGUUAGGACCCAGGUCAGACUUGUGCUUGGCCUUGCAGAGUCCAGUGAGAACAGUGUCCCCGGAGCUAUGGAGUGCGUGUGGUGAGGUGGGGUGGGAAAACCCCAGAAAACCCUGGGUGGGAAAAAUGAACUACUGGGACCUCAUCAAGAUAAAAAGCGUCUGCACAGUGAAGGAAACAGUCAAAAACAGUAAAAGGCAACCUACAGGAUGGGAGAAGAUAUUCGCCGAUAACGUAUCUGAUGAAGGGUUAGCAUCCAAAAUCUAUGAAGAACUUGUCAAACUCGAUACCCAAAAAAACAAAUAAUCCAGGUAAGAAAUGGGCAGAAGACAUGAAUAGACCUUUUUCCAAAGCAGACAUCUAGAUGGCCAACAGACACAUGAAAAGAUGCUCAACAUGAUUACCCAUCUGAGAAAUCUAAUCAAAACUAUGAUGAGAUACCACCUCUCACCUGUCAGAAUGGCUAAAAUUAACAACUCCGGCAACAACAGAUGCGGGUGAGGGUGUGCAGAAAAGGGAACCCUUCUGCAGUGUUGGUGGGAAUGCAAACUGGUGCAGCCGCUCUGGAAAACAGUAUGGAGGUUCCUCAAAAAGUUAAAAAUAGAACUACCCUACGACCCAGCAAUUGCACUACUAGGCAUUUAUCCAAAGAAUACAAAAUACAGAUCCGAAGGGGCACGUGCACCCCAUGUUUAUAGCAGCGCUAUCAACAAUAGCCAAAUUCUGGAAAGAUCCCAAAUGUCCAUCUGCCGAUGAAUGGAUAAAGAACAUGUGGUGUGUAUAUAUAUAUACACAUAUAUAUAUAUAUAUAUAUACACACACACAUAUAUAUAUACCAUAUAUAUGUGUGUAUAUAUAUAUACGUACAUAUAUAUGGUAUAUAUAUAUAUAUAUGAUGGAAUAUUACUGUACGAUCAAAAAGAAUGAAAUCUUGCCAUUUGUAACAAUGUGGAUGGAGCCAGAAUGUGCUAUAUGCUAAGUGAAAUAAUUCGGUCAGAGAAAGACAAAUACCAUACGAUUUCACUCCUAGGCGGAACUUAAGAAGCAACACGGAUGAACAGAUGGGAGGGAGGGGAAAAAAAGAGAGUGGGCAACAAACCAUAAGAGACUUUUUUUUUUUUUAAUGUUCAUUUUGAGAGUGUGUGUGCACGGGCAACUGGGGAAGGGCAGGGAGAGAGGGAGAGAGAAUCCCAAGCAGGCUCCACACUGUGCAGUGGGACCCGAUGUGGGGCCCGAUCCCACGAUCCGUGAGAUCGUGACCUGAGCUGAAAUCAAGAGUCAGACACUUACCCGGAUAAGCCACGAAAGUGCCCCAAAGGACGCUUAAAUAUAGAGAACAAACUGAGGGUUGAUGGAGGGAGGUGGGGGAUGGGUUGAAUAGGUGAUGGGGUACUAAGGAGGGCGCUUGUUGGGAUGAGCCCUGGGUGUCGUGUGUAAGUGAUGAAUUCUCCUGCAACCAACGUUGCGUUGUAUAGUAACUAACUAGAAUUUAAAGAAGAACUUGAAAAAAGAAAGAGCAAAGGAAGAAAAGAGAAAAAAAGAAAAGAAAGGAAAAGAACAGAAAAGAAAAAGAAAGAACGCACACCUGGCUCUGGACAUAGGCCUACACGUUCCCGUCCGGGACUCCAGAGCAAGAGUGCUGCUGACGAGGAGGUGGAAGGUUCACAGCAGAUUCAGAAGCGAAUUUUGGUAACUCCAAAAACUAAAAUACUUGGCCGAGCCCCCACGUUGGGCUGAAAGACCUAACAUAAAGCAGGGGUUUCAUCAAGGAACAGCAACUAAGGGAUAAAUAAAGCGCCUAGGACCCGGCCUCACCUACAUUCAACACCCCCAUAGCUUUCGUAUCUAUAAACCGAAUCCCUUGUAGCCCCUUCCUCCUAGAAACUCAGCGUCGCGGGGACACAACGCUCGACAACGAGAAAACAAUACGCCCGAGCGCGGAACUCUGAGCUGCGGACGGGCAGGCCCGGUGGUACCGUCUGUAGUCAGUUCCCCGGGCAAGUGAGGGCCCUGGGAAACUGUUUCCGUACAGGUGCAUUUCAGCAGGCGGCUUCUGAGAAAUUCUCUGCUCGUCGGAACGAUGCCUGCUUCCCUUGAAGCUUUUCUGUGGACAGUUUAUUGCACAUAUAUAUAGAUACUGGGAAACCUUUGAUUGUCUGCCGGUCCAGAGCAAAGGAGGAGAAGGGGAAAUGCCUGGUAUAGACAUGGGGAGGUAGGUCUUAACAUGGAGGUUUUGUUAUCAUUCAGGUUCGGUGAGGCUGACCGUCGAGUCCGGGGACCCUGCCUCAAAUACUUUGUUGUCCGCAGCCCCCGAGAGGAGGGCCACAGGUACCGUGCAGAGCCGUGAAGGGACGAGGCAGGUGGGCCAGGAGGCAGAAGGCCGCCUGGUGGCGGGGAGAGGAUGGCCAGGAGCCUUUAUUGUGUUUCGGUGGGAAAGGCAAAGCCGGGCAGGGUCCGCACGUCUGAAAUUGGCGGAUUCGAAUAAUCCCAGCAGGCUGUGGGGUAUCGGGGUAUCAGCAGUCUCUAGUGUGUGGUCCCCGGCCCCCCUUCCACCAUGGUUAGGGUAUGGGGAAGGGAUUCUGAGUCUGGCUUCCCGGAUAGGUUGGUUUGCGUGUGAAAGGCAUGCUCUCUCUAAGGAUUGGCCACCCUGGGAGGGGCGGUCUCUCCCCAGGCCGCGAGGACCCCCGAUGCCAGAACAGGGACCCAGAAAGUAAGACAGUUCACACUAGAGGUCACUGCCAUACUUCUCAUUGUCUUUACCUUUACCUUCCAAGCGUUUUCAAGUCUGCAGGGUGAGAGUCUGCCUUCCUUGAGAGCUGAGUCUCCAGGAUGCAGGGCCUGGUGGGGAGGGGCUUGUGCCCCCCCCCCCCAAGUCUAGACACCCUGCCUUCCCCGGGCCUCAGGUGCCCAGCCGGUCAGGCUUCUCCUUGCGUUACUUCUCUCCCGGGGGGUGUUUCUCCCUUCCCUUUCGAGGGCACCAUCUUUCAAGCCUGGGGCACAUCUCUGGCACCUGCAGACGGAGGGGAAGGGCUGUCUGUCCCCGAUGGGGUUUCUUUAGGCCACAGAAAGUGCCAUGUGAGUGUCUGCGGGCAAGCACGCUGUGCCCGCCGUCUCGCCCGUUGUCGUAGACGAUAUUCCGUGAAACGAUCACGGGCCCGCUGGAUGUUUUGUGGCCACUUUGCAUGGAGCCCGGGGCUCGCCUAACCACGGCCUUAUUUCUGGAAGAAAGCGACAGGAAGGCGUGGCCAGACCAACACAGGGGCCCGUGGAGGACCCGGCACCACCCUGGGGGCCCCGGGAGGUGCGGAACAGACGGUUGGCUUCCAUUUUGAGGUCUCCUUGAACCUCACCGCCCUACUCCCACCUGGCGCCCUACUCCCACCUGGCGCCCUACUCCCACCUGGCGCCCUACUCCCACCUACUCCCACUCCCUCCACCCGGCCGCACUCUCUCCCCGGUUCUCUAACCCUCCCUCGGCCUCCAAGAUGGGCCUCGUCGACUCUCCCCGGGCUUGCCUCCCACUCAGUCUCCCUGGGUCGCUCCAGAAGAUAAGCUAAAGAGGACGGGGCUGAGUGUGUUUUUCCCCUUGCGGGAAACGCCCUCCUUGCCCUGCUCGCCCAGGCCCACCAGCCUCUCUGGGGUUUUCCGCAGAAUCUCCCCCGAGCGCUCCAGGACCGGCCACCGUCCCGCUCACGUUUGCCAAGGGGACAGGAACCCAGCGCGGUAUCUGGUUGGUCUGCUCGGGCCCACUCGCUAAACUCCUCGGGUGUGGAGACUGCGUCUCGUUCUCUCUCUGCCGGUGACAGACCUCUGAUUGUGACCCACGUUCGUGAGCCACCUUCCUCCGUGACAGGACCCCCGGUUCUCAUGCUGUGGCCUGCAUGGGGCUCGAGAGGGCAUAUGAGCAAGUUAGGUGGUGAACUAUAAAGGGGCAAUGUUGUUUAGACUUGUGGAAAAGAUUGUUGAAGGAGGGGAAAGGUGUGUCCCCAUCGAUCCCCUAUUCCUUCCCCCUGCCUUGAAGGCAGCAUGUGAUGACUGGGGCUCCAGCAGCCAUCUUGGACCCUAAGGUGAUUGCUGGGGACGGAAAACACACCCUGAGGAGAGUGGAGACUAGAGACAGGGGCCUGGGUUAACGUUGUGACGCUGCCUUAGCGGCUCCGGGCUGCUUACCCGACAGGCGUCCUUUGUGCGAAAGCAGAAUGAACCUCUCUCUUCCCGAAACCACUGUUAUUUUGGGUUUUCCUAUGAAAUGAGAGCAAACGAAAUCCUCACUGAUGCCAAGUUCCUCGCACGGAACUUGCCCCAUACUGGGCACUGGGUAAUAACGUGAGGACCAAGGAAGUGAUCUGUGAGCUUCUCCCCAGGUGCGGCUUUUGCAGACUGAGGCUACUGAGGCUCGGUGGGUGGGGCUGCCCAGGCGGGGACGAGGGCCCGGUCUCCGAGGACAUCCCACUGAAGUUUGUCCAGCUCCGUAUUCCCUAAAGCUGUGUGUCCACUGUAUACAAGUAGACUCACUCGAAGAAAACGCUGAUAUUCUAAAUGUACACUAAAAAAAAAAUUGGACUGGAUGGGGCGCCCGGGCGGCUCAGCCCUUAAGCGUCCGACUUCGGCUCAGGUCACGAUCUCGCGGUUCACGAGUUCGAGCUGCGCGUCGGGCUCUGCGCUGACAGUUCGGAGCCUGGAGCCCGUUUCAGAUUCUCUGUCUCCCUCUCUCUCUGCCCCUCCCCCACUCAUACUUUGUCCCUCUCUCUCUCAAAAAUAAACAUGAAAAAUUUUUUUUUAAUUUAUAAUAAAAAAUUGUUGACGCCUUAUACAAAUAGGUCCUUUUCUGAAACCACCGUAUCCUUUUUUGUGGUUUUAAAAUAUGACUUAGGGGGCGCCUGGGUGGCGCAGUCGGUUGAGCGUCCGACUUCAGCCAGGUCACGGUCUCGCGGUCCGGGAGUUCGAGCCCCGCGUCGGGCUCUGGGCUGAUGGCUCGGAGCCUGGAGCCUGUUUCCGAUUCUGUGUCUCCCUCUCUCUCUGCCCCUCCCCCGUUCAUGCUCUGUCUCUCUCUGUCCCAAAAAUAAAUAAACGUUGAAAAAAAAAAUUAAAGAAAAAAAAAAUAAAAUAUGACUUAGUUUGAAAAGAUUCCAGCCCAGAGAGAGACGGAUAUGACACUUCCACUGAAGGUGCACUGGCAAAUUUGAGGCCAGCCCCUUGGACCACGUGUUGAGCCUGGACAUAGGCUGUGCAGUCUGGACUCCGUACGACCCGGGUUGUGACACACUUCUUUUAUGACGUGUGUCUGGCUGCACGUCCCCGGAUAAGCCAGCAACCGCAAGUUAAUCCGUCUGAUAAAUACAUGUAUUAUGUGCGUGUGACGGGCUGGGGCGAACCGUGGGGUGAGAAAAUGAGAUGUGGCUCGCGGAAGCCCGCAGUGUGGCCGGGGGUGAGGACGCCGGCCUGGAGGGAAGACCCCGGGAUCACGCUGGUGCUCAGUGCUCCGGGGCUUGGGUGGAGUUGGGCUCUGUCUACACUGGACCCAGCUCUGUCUAAAGCUGGAUUGAUGAGACGCAGCUUCGAAGGAGGGGAGGGCAGUCAAAGAAAAGUCCAGAAAGAGAGAAAUGGGGCCUGGUUUGGCCGAAUGCAGGGUGCCAGGCUGGGGCUUCCGGAAGGGGUGUGAGCCAGGGAGGGUGUUAGGAGAGGGCCACGGGGAAGAGCCAGGGCUGGUCCUGCGUGAACAGCGGCCUCACAGGGCCUCCGCGGUGGCUUCCCUCGGCCUCCCCCGGGGGAGGGUCUACCGGUGUUCCCAGCCCCUGAGCAGCCCCUACCCUGCACCUCCCGCCACUUGCUGGUGGGGAGCCCCGUGGCUCUGAGGGCAGUGUCCCCGGGCAGGUGCCUCCCAGCACUGGCAGGUGCGGGGUCCCUGGCUGCCGGUCUUGACACAGGGAUCAGAGGCGAGAGGGGGCGCGGCAGCCGGCCAGGACCAGGAGAGAGGCACCUAGGGGAGUAGAGGAAGGCCAGCGUGGGAGGCGCUAAGGGCCGGGGCAUGGCCGGGACCUUGAGCACGGACCUGGGUGGUGGGGACGUCACCAUGAGCUAUCAGUGAUGGUUUCGCACGGUGUGGUGCGGCUCUACAAUGUUUUCUGUUCAGUAACUGUGUUAAGGCGGGUAGAGGACGUGGUGGAGGGGCGUUCCCAUUUUCCAGAUGGGAGGACUGCGGCCCAGAGAGGCCCAGAGGUCUGUCAGUCACUUGUGGCAACCUAUCAAAGGAGAUGACCCCGGGCAUCCUUUUCCGGAGGACUUCCCUCUGCUCACUAUGCCCGAGGUGGAUCCCCCACCUCCCUGCUGUGCUAACGGGCAAAGCCUCCCCUUCUCAGCCACAUUUUUCGCCCACACUCCGGCUGCUACCUUGGGCCACCCGUGAGUCACAGGGGAUGUUGAGUCAGAAGUCCCCUAUCCUCCCCGCUGCUCCUUCCCGGGUGACUCAGCCUGGUCGCAGAGCAGCCAAAACUGAUGGGAGGGGAAACAGAAGGGGCUGUAGCCUAGAGAUAACCUCUGAGCAGCCGUGGCCUUGACCUGGGGAGAUACCUAAAGAGUACCCCAGAAAGGCAAGCAAAGGGCUGUGUCAUCAGGCUGGCGCCUGUGGGCCGGGAACCCCCAAGGUGCACCCCAGUCUGGGGGUGAUUCCUAUCACCCACCAAAGCCCUCCCAGGGUCCCCUCCUCAGGGCUGUCCCGCGACACCAGCCUCCCUUCUCCUGGACGGAACCCACCGCGGGGCUCCCACGCCUGGUGAUGGAUCACUUGGAGUGACCCCGUCCUUGUGACCAGGUCUGGCCCUUCUGCCCCUCGACUUACUGUAGCCAGAUGGGGCUCGGAUCCAAUCAUCCUGGAAGGUCCCAGCACCCACAAACGGAUCGACCUCAGGCACUAUGUUGUUGACAGCUUGAUUAACAAUGCAGUACUAACUUUUAAAACCUUGUUUGUUUUUGUAAAGUUUAUUUAUUUUGAGGGUGGGGGAGGGAGAGAACCAGCAGGGGAGGGGCAGAGAGACGGGGGGAGGGGCGGUGUGUGGGGGGACAGAGGAUCCAAAGUGGGCUCCACACUGUCGGCAGAGAGCCUGACGCAGGGCUCCAACCCCCGAACCAUGAGAUCAUGACCUGAGCCAAAGUCGGACGCUUAACCGACUGAGCCACCCAGGAGCCCCCUUUCGAAACCUUGUAAAUGUAACUUUUACUAACGUAGAAACAUACAGAAACAUGUGCAGAUCGUGGGUGGUAAAAUCGGGGUUUGAACGUGCUCACGUAAGCGACGUGCAGAUCCAGGAAGGGGGGGGUGUCAGGAGCCUCCCCCGCACCCCCUCCAGGGCACUUCCCCCCAAGAUUGGCAUUGCCUGGUGUUGAACUUUAUAUGGUGGGUCCAUACAAGAGGUAUUUUUCAUCUGGCUUCUUCCGCGUGAGCGUCGUGAGCAACCCAGCUGACGUCCUAGCUGCGGUCCGCCCUCUCUGGUCGCUGCAUGAGGAACAUUCCGUCCUCUGCCCGGACCACAGCUCCUCCGUCCACCCACCUGGAUGGGCACGGGCGGUGUCCGGCCGGGGGCCCUGACGGAGUGCCGCCGUGAACGCUCUUGUACGUUUGCACACUUCCGUGGGACACACACACACACACGAGGACUGUUGGUCGUAGCACGCGCAGACGUGCAGCCUCGGUGGGGAUCUCGGCGUCCGCUGUGCGUGCAGCCUGCCUCCCGGGCGGGUCUCUAAGCAGACACCGUGUCCUCGUGUCUCCGUGUGUGUGGUGCCCUGUACUCACAAGCCGCCUCCUUCCCCCCCGUCAUCCAGCUCCGCGCAAUGAUGCAGGUGUGUUUCCUCACCUGGUCAAUCGAGGGGUAGCGUCAGUCCCCGACGGAGCAGUGAGAGUCGGUGCCCGGCAUCCCACGUCCUGGCCUGCUUCCCCACCAGCAGGGACUCAGGCUCAGCCUGUUCAUGGCCCACCAUCAAGCGUAGCCGGUGGGGUCCGCAGGGGAUCCGGGAGGAGCUCCGGUCUCUAAGGCUGCAUGCUUCCUGGGGCUCAGCGUUUGGGAUUUAUUUAUGACGGGGAACUGUAGCAGGACCCGGUUUGUAACCACCAGCUGUCGCUAUAGCAACUCCUCACUUACAGCAGCCUCCACACUAAAAAUAGAUCGCUUCAUCCCUAGGAUAGAAAAAUCAAAGAAAAUCAAGUCCCCAGAUGGAUCUCGAGGUGUGGCGAUGUAUGUUUCCGGCCUUUUUCACCACCCAUCUAAAAGCAGAAAGGUCUGCGGUGGGAUGGCCGGUCCCCUGCAAGCGUUCUCGGGGCCACAGGGCCACAGGGCCACAGAAGCCUCCCCCCUGCUUAGAAGACCUCCUCCCUUAUAGUCCAGAGGUUUGAAUACUGAAUCAUAAACAGUCGUUUCACAUCGGCCUUACUGUUUCUUCAUCUGAAUUCUUCUGUGGGAUUGUAAACCUCUUUCAAGGUCGGGGACUUAAUUAUCAGGGUGAUACGAGGACUGAAAAUCCUGUCCUAUGAAAAGGAGUUGAAAGAAUCGGAAAUGUUGGCACGGACGGGAGUGUGCUUAGCGAGGGCUGAGAACAGCCUUCGAAUAUUUGAAGGAGUGUCCUAAUGAAGAGGGGUUGCCUUGUUCUCAUCCUGCAGGAAAACAGAACUCAACUCCACGGGAGAGACUAUCUACCCCCACCCCCCCGAAAAUACAUGUAUUUUUUUAAGUGCAUUUUAUUGCAUUUUAGAAAAUCUAAAAUAAAAUUUCAUUUAGUCUGUAACUAGAAGUUGGGUAUUAUAGAUAGGGGAUGAAUCGCUGGAAUCUACCCCUGAAAUCAUUAUUGCGCUAUAUGCUAAUAACUAACUUGGAUGUAAAUUUAUAUAAAUAAAAUAAAAUAAUAAAAAAAGAUUUCAAAGUAUUUUAAAACCAGAAAAAGCCCUCCCGAAUCACAAGCCUCCAAAGCGCCCCAGCAUCUCUGUGGACCUCUAAGGAGGACAGCGUCCUGGACGGCUGCCGCCCGGGGACGCAGCUGAACUGAUGCUGGCUGGGUGGGGCCGGGGACCCUCCCGAGGUGGCUAUGGAGACUCAGGGUCACCCUGCCCACACACGGGAGGCGCUCAGUAGUGUUAGUUGUUCCCACAGGGGUAUUCCAGCCAAGGACGAGGUCUUAAACGUUGGAUGGGAGAGUUACGGAGACCUUCUCCAGGUCCCGGCUCUGAGCUACAGGCAGAAUGGACCAGAGCUGUGGGUUCCGGUGAGAAGUAAGCUUGAAACGGGGAGUGUUUGGAGCUAGCAGUACUGGGAGUGGCUGGGCUCAGUCCAGGGGCCGUUGGGGGCGCCCGGAGGUCCUUGGAUUUGGACCUUCCUGGGGAGUCCCCUCUCUGCUCCACUGGGACCCUCCCUGCCCAUAAGCCACACGUAGUAGCGAUUAGUGAUAUGCUGGUCCUUAUUUUUAUUUCGUUUUUGUUUUGGGGGCGUGGGGUUGUUUUUUGGUCUUUUUGGUUUUGCGUCUUUUUACCUUGUGGUAAAGUAGACAAACGUGAAAUCCACCUCGUAUCUGUUUCUGAGUGCGCGGCUUUGUGGCCUGAGUCACACUCACGUGGCUGUACGACCACCUCCGCCAUCAUCCCCAGAACUUUUUCUUCUGGCAAAACCGAGGCUCCGCCCCCAUUCGACAAUGACCGAUCCCUUCUCUGUCCCCCAGCCCCUGGCGCCCACCAUUCUGAUUCUCUGUCCCUGUGAAUUGGACUCUUGUAGUCACUCAUCUAAGUGGAGUCACGUGGCAUUUGUCCCUUUGUGACCGGCUUAUUUCACGUAGCGCGGUGUCCUCAGGGUUCGUCCAUGUUGUAGCGUGUGUCACAAUUUCCUGCCUUUCCUUUUUGACCUAUUUAUUUUUUUUUUUAAUUUUUUUUUCAACGUUUAUUUUUAUUUUUGGGACAGAGAGAGACAGAGCAUGAACGGGGGAGGGGCAGAGAGAGAGGGAGACACAGAAUCGGAAACAGGAUCCAGGCUCUGAGCCAUCAGCCCAGAGCCUGACGCGGGGCUCGAACUCACGGACCGCGAGAUCGUGACCUGGCUGAAGUCGGACGCUUAACCGACUGCGCCACCCAGGCGCCCCUUGACCUAUUUAUUUUUAAGAGCGAGAGACUGACCGCACAACUAGGGAGGGGCAGAGAGAGAGAGAGAGAGAGAGAGAGAGAGAGAGAGAAUCCCAAGCAGGUUCCACGCAGUCAGCACAGAGCCCAAUGUGGGGCUCGAACCGUGAGAACAUGACCUGAGCCAAAAUCAAGAAUCGGUCACUUAACCGACUGAGCCACCCAGGCGCCCCCCUCCUUCCUUUUUAAGGUGAAGUCGUUUUCUGCUGGAUGUAGACACCACAUUUUGUUUAUCUGCUCAGUCAGGGGACCUGGCCACGUCUCCCCACCUAGGUUGCAAGCCCUUCAAGGCAGCCGUGGACCUCAUUCCUGUCAGCCUGGGACCAAACACGUGGCCCUUGUGUGUGUGGCGAAAUGAGCCCCGCUGCUGGAUCCUUCCAGGGCUACGCCCUGCACCCCCCAGUGGGAGGGCCUCCUGACACCCAUCGCUGUGUGUAAUGAGAAGGUGCUGAGAGCCUGGGGACCACCUCCGGAGUUAUUGCUGGGACGCUGGGCCCCCACGGAACACUGGGGGGGAGGGGUAGCCACCUGCAGUGUGACCCGAGGGGCGCAGUGAGCAGCCCCAAGCCCCCAACAUCGGGUUUUCCGAAGGUUCAAGUUUCAGCUCAGGUGGCAUGCGUUUGGAUCCUGGCAUCAUCUGCUGUUUCAUUCUUUCUCCCAGAGGCCUCUGUUCUUAGCGCUCACAAAUCAACAGGUAGCAGCAAAGUGCCAAAUAGCCAAUCACACAGAGCAAGGCACUGGAGAUAGACCAGGAAUAGUGUUUGGGUUAGGACCUGUGCGGGGGGCCAGGAGACUGGCGUGGUCUGUAGAGGUGGCCUGGAGACAUGAGGUCCUUAGCAAAAGUGGUAGAGGGGCGUCUGGGUGGCUCAGUCCGUUGAGCAUCCGACUUGGCUCAGGUCAUGUCCCGGUUCAUGGGUUUGAGCCCCGCGUCGGGCUCUGUGCUGACAGCUCGGAGCCUGGAGCCUGCUUUGGACUCUGUGUCUCCCUCUCUCUCUCUCUGCCCGUCCCCUGCUCGUGCUCUGUCUCUCAAAAAUAAAUAAACGUUUAAAAAAUUUUUUUUAAUAAAAGAUAAGAAGAAAUGGUAGAGGGAGGCCCUACCAACCUGGGGCGGGGCUGGCGGUGGUUUCUGGGAGGGAGGCUGGCACUCAUCACAGAUGAGUGGGGACCAGCCCUGCCUUCUGAGGGUUCCUACAGGUUUUCCUGCCCCAGGGGACUCGGAGACGCUCACUCCUGGGCUCGCCCAGAGGUUGCGGAAGGGCUGUGGGGGCAGAGGGGGCCCUGUGGCUUGUUUGACUUGCUUGGCGCUAACAUGGACCCAAGGGGGCCAACACUAGACAGAGUCGAAACGCCAGACCUGCCGAGAGGACGCUACAGAGGAAGGGAUCCGAAGGCUUCGAGAGAUGGGAAUGUGAGAGUAGAUUAUCACGUAGGACCCGCUCCCUGCCCUCCCCCCCCUCCAGAGAACCCAGAGGACACACUUGUGACCAAGGCCAUGUGACAAAUGAUUGGCAAGGGGAGCCCAGCACCUUGGAGGAGCUCCGUGCACGCUCGCCCCCGAGGGUCAGAAAUUAUAGUGCCUCUGUCCUGGGAAUCCUAAAUACAGUGGGGACAGUCGGGUCCCAGGUGGCAGGGGGCCAAGCGGCGAUGGGAAGGGUCUGCCUUGUGCAGACCUGGGGUGUCGGCUCCUUUAUGUCGGUCUUCCUGGGAGUGGGGCAGAGGGAGGCCUCCGCAAUUCACGUCUGUUCAAGUGGGCAAGUUCUAGGCCAAGCGGACAAAAGCCUAGUCUGAAUCAUAAAAACAGAGUUACGGCCCAUCAGUCGGUUCCCAGACCCGAGCCAGUUCAGACCCAGAACGCCUCGAAUGGAGGGGAGGCCAGGUCCCCUCGAGGAAGGACCCCGGGACACUACCAAAAAUCCGUGCUGUCGGCGCCUGCCCCAGAGGGACCUUCGGCUUCACCAGGGUGACUGUGCGUUGGCCCAAGGAAAUGACCCAGUGCUUCAGAGAUCACCUGACCCUGGCUCCGAACGGACCCCAAUCCCAGGAGACCCGGAAGGUCUCAGCAGGUGCUUGCGGGAGAGCAGGCAGUGGUGAUUCCAGCACAGAAUUUCUCUAGCCCCCCGCCCCUCAGCGGAGGGGGAGAGCCCUUCCUGUGUGCGGUCCUUGACUUCCCCGUGUCUCUAAGCAGAGACCCCAGGGCGGGGGGCAGGGGGGGGGUGGAUGUGGGGCCGGGGUGACAGAGGCUCACAAGUGGGGAGCUGGCUGGAGGCUGCGGAGGCAGCUGGGAAGCGAGGAAUGUCACUUCAUCAGAAGCCGCGGGGCCCGUGUCUUAUCAGUGUGGGGGUGUUAGCACAUCCAUAAUAAGAAAGUGCCGGCUGAUAUGACAGCCCGUGAGUGGGGGCGGGUGUCGAGCUGUCGGCUGACAGGGGGAAGGCUGAGGUGCGUGCCGUCUGUCCCCUUGGCUGGUCGAGGAGCCUUAGGGUCUCGCCGCUUUCAGGAGAGAGAGACUUCUGCCCUCCCUGCCUGUCGGUGACCAGCAGAGCCCUCCUUUCCGAGCGAGAGAUGAGCCCUCCAGAGGAGCCGCUGGGGAGGGAGAAGGUGCAGGUGACAGACAGUAGGUUCUCAUGCGAAGGGAGAACAGAAACCCAGGGCGCUAUGUCCCGUGCCUGGAGGAAAGGCCGUGACGCCGGGCACACGGGGGCCGGUGUCGGCCCAUCCCUGCGGGACGUCGGGCUCCAAGGGGCAGCUCCCCACCACCUGGCCGGAACAUUCUCAAGCUGCAUCGCAGGCUCUUGCUGCCAACCCCCCCCCCAUCCCUACCCCGGCCCCUCCACGCCCGGGGCUCAGCCUGCAUCCGGGCCCUUCCCUCCUCCCUCCCCAGAAGCCAAUAUGGCCCUGGCGUGUUACAUCCCGUCUUGGCCUAUCAAGAGUCAUGCCGAAGGGAUGUUGUCUCGCUCUCCGUGCUAUCAGUCUUGCCUUGGUGACCAGAACCUCCGGGGGUCUGUGCUCGGUUUCCUCCCCACUCAGAGACCGGAGGCCGGCCCCAUACCCUGCGCUUCGCCGGCUCCCCUGGGAUGGCCCUCCGCCUUUCCUGUGGCAGCUGGGCACCUCCGGGUUGGACUUCUUAGAGGGGUCCCCCGGGCAGUCUGUGUCUAACGCUCGGAGUGUCCUCCCUGCUGGCCGGGCUUGCCUGCUCUGGUCCACUCGACGGGCCGCUCCCGGCCCAGCCCGGCUCUUCCCGGGCUCCCGACUGCUUGCCCUAGGCUGGCCAGCUUCUCCAACACGCUGGCAGUUGGAACGGGCCUGGCAGGUGGCCUUGGCCCGGGGUGAGUGCUGCUGACUUGGGUUUGGGUCCUCCUCCCAGGACGUGGACGCAGUCACUCCCCCCGGCUGCUGGCAGCCGUCUGUGACCACGAGGCAGGGUCGCUAAAGACCACAUGGACACAGAGGGAAGACACACAGCUACACCCUGGAUUUCCUGUCCUGAGACAAACAUUAUUACGGUGAAAGCCAGUUUGAUUUCGACUUUCUGUUACUUACAGCCCAAACGCACCCUUCACAGGAGAUUCUCAUAUAAUGACACCACGAGAAGGGGGAAGGGCAGGCCUCCUGUCACACGCGGGGAGCAAGAACCAGAGAAUCCCCUUUGGAAAUUCAGACAAGUCAGCUUUGGACUCUAUGGAAAGGGGUCCCAGGCAGCCUGGCAUCAGAGUUCUUAGCCAAGGCCCAGAAAUCGGUUCUAGCUAGUUCAAGUGGGCAAAAAAGGAAAAAAAAAAAAAUGAUUAAAGGAUAUUGAGUAGCUCACAGAAUCCCUAGCGUGGAGAGAACCUGGCUGGGUGUUCCUAAGAAGGGCCCAGAGUCACCUCCAGAAUGGGGACAGUGGAUUCCCACGCAGCCCUGGGCCACUGCAGUGCCCCCCUAAAUUCAUAUGGUAAAGCCCUAACUCUCAACGUGACUGCAUUCAGAAAUAGGGCUUUUAGGAGAUAAUUAUGGUUAAGUGAGGUCACAAGGGUGGGGACCGAAACUGAUAGGAUUGGUGGCCUUAUAAAACGAGAAAAGGGAAGCUCUCUACCGUGUGAGGACACAGCGAGAAGGCAGCCGUCCGCAAGCCGGGAGGAGAGACCUCGCCAGAACCUGACCACGCCGGCACCUUGAUAACGCGACUCUCCAGCCUCGAGAACUGCGGGAAAAUAAACUUGUGUCGUCGAAGGCGCCCAGCGUGUGCUAUUAUAUUAACCAGCGUGAGCACACUUAUCCAGCCUCCCAUCUCCGGCAACCGGGGGAUCCUGCUCUACGCCGGCUUCUGUGCACUUCGGCUCAGGAUGUCCAUCGGUCAGUCCAGGUCUCCGGGUGGCGUGCCAUUGCCCCGGGGGGGCUGGAGGAGUGAGUCUUGAGGGAAUCCCCCCACUUCCGAGCCCCUCUCCCCCUCUCUCCCUCUCUAGAAGCCAAGCAUACGGAAGACGUGAAGGAUGCUGGGUGGACAGAAGGAAUUACAAACACCCUUCCGACACAGGACGGUGAAUGUGAGGGAGGUCCCCAGCAAGGUCGAGACGAGCUGCCAAGAGACCCCUCCCACGUGGUGACCUGUCUCCGUGGGUCACCAGGUCUCGGGGCGGGUCGUCAACUUUGUAGGCUCAAAAACCCGCUCUCUUCAGCACGCCGAGAACUCGUCUCUUGCUCGGUUCGUAAAACCAUGCAGAUCUAAAUGAAGGUUUCCCGUCUCCGUGGCAAGAUGCUGGGCACGCGUGGACCGGGGCACACACACCAGCACCCUACCUGCCGAGCGACACGGGGAGCCAAGCCAGCCCAACAGCUGCAGCGCGAUUUCAAGUAGGGUCUAGGACGGGGUCGGGAGCCCAGCCCCCCUUCCCUUGGAUCCAUGCAAGGAAAGGCAUCUGGAGCUUCCCGUUUGGUGCCCUUGGAUGGCCAUUCUUCCACCAUUCUCUGGGCUUGGAGUUCCUCCAAAAAGUUUCUGCUUACUGAAUUAGAGUAAAAUGUUAUUUUCUGCCUCCCUGAAGGUGACCCAGGUCGCCUGGAGUAGGGUUAUGGGUGUUCCCAAAUUCUUGAGCCGUACCAUCAGUCUCUUGGGCAACUCUCAUCAAUGGCUACGUACGUCUUCUCUUUUAUGUGUUUUUCAGAACUUCACUAUAUAAGGGCAACCUCUUUCCUUCUUUUGUUUCCCCGAAUUCUUUCGGAGCAGGUUUCUGCCAACACUCCUUUCCCUCCAAGGUUAUAGAAGCCAAAGGUGUGGCCCUGUCCCUCCCCCCUUGGUCCGCGUGUGCGUUCACCUGCCCCGGAGAUGUUUCAGUCUGUGAACCGGCCGCCUGCCUGGGGCCGGCGUGUUUUCUGAAGUGCUCUAGGUUGUAGAAGCUGUUUUCCCUAGAGGAGUGCAAACCAGUAACCGGGAGAGUUGUGUUAAUCCCUAUGCUUUGCGAAAUGAAUUUCUUUAUUUUUUUUUAUUUUAUUUUUUUAACAUUUAUUCAUUUUUGGGAGUGAGAGAGAGAGCGUGAGCGGGGGAGGAGCAGAGACAGAGGGAGACACAGAAUCCAAAGCAGGCUCCAGGCUCUGAGCUGUCAGCACAGAGCCCGAGGCGGGGCUCGAACUCACGAGCUGUGAGAUCGUGACCUGAGCGGAAGUCGGGCGCUCAACUGAGGGAGCCACCCGGGCACCUGCGAAAUGAAUUUCUAUGGCGCCGCGUUAAGCUCAAUUUUGUGUAAGCCUCGCUUUCCACCUGUGCCCCAUCUGCAUUUUUAGGGAUUGUUAAGGGGCCUACUACGUGCGGGAUGGGUUGAGCUCCGUGCGUGGCAACGUUGCAGUAAGGUUUGCGACCAGUGGAUCCAGUCCCCGCCAGGACCAGGUGGGCUUGCUCGCGAAUGCCCAGGGUCACAGAGGUGGCCAGGAUGACCUCACGUUAUUACCAGACCGAGGUCUCUAUCCGUUCCCUUGGUAACAUACUUGAUGUGUUGGUAGUAAGCCCUUCCACACGCGCCCUCCUUUGAUCUCCUUGAGUUUUCUUCAUAAGGACAAGGAGACCUCAGGUUCUGCCCUAUCUGACCCCUGGGGGCUAAUGGCAAGAUGCCAACCCCCUGGUUUGUGGAUUGCUGUUUUUUUUCCUUUGCUGGUCAGUGGCCCUAAACAGAAAUGCAUACCCUGGUUCUGCCUUAGCGCCAGGAGAUAGCAGGGCUCGCGGAUUUGGACAAAGCCCCUGCAAAAUCGCCAUCUGGGUUCCAUGUUCCCCAGGGCUUGGAAAGCAACCACAGUGAAGCAGGAUAAUGAUGGCAUCGGGUGUUUCACGGGCAUUUGCUCUGUGUCAGGCAGGCACUUUUCCCGUGCCACCUUGUUUAUUCCUUGGAACAACUGUGUAAUAUCUGAGAAGUAGCUGAGAAAGUGUAAGAAAGAGUUCAAGUGGGGCAGCCAGGAAGUGGCAGGGUGGGGACCCAAGCCCAGGGCUCCCUGCCCCCACCUUCCUCUGGGGCAAACCCCACACACCCCGGUCUAUGAGAAUCCUUUGGGGGAAGGUAUGGGGAAAUCGGACUUUACCCCCUAAAUUGGCAGGUACUUGGUCCGGGAUGAUGCCCGGGGAUUUUUAUCAAAACUUCUAAGGGACGCCCAGGCAGGCUUUAGAGUGACAGCAUACCGUCGUCCUCGCAAGUUCAUAGUUCUUAAAGCCGGGCGAGGGGAAGAUGGGGAGGUCUGCGCUUCUGUUCUGCCUUUAAAGGUGUUUAAAUUUUUCCAUGGCUAAAAAGUGAAACAGCACUGCAUUAUCCACGCGUUAAGAGACGAGGCACCGAGUCCUUGAAGAAACUACCCUGUUAACAGGCUCGCAAUCCGGGGCAUGCCCCACACCUCCAGGAUUAAAGACUAGAGUCUGUCUUGGGGGCCACAGAGGGGGUGGGGGGUGCGGAGGGAGUCCGAGCCAAAGGUAAUAAAGCCCCAGAGCCCCUCCACUCCCAGAGGACAGUUUAGGGCUUUUAGAUCUGCACCCUAGCAUACCUGAUUUCUAAGAUGUCAAGCUCAGAAUUCACUCUUCACCGACCCCCUGCCCUUCUGGGAUUUUUGCCCUCGAGUCUUCCUUCUCCGUGUUCCACAAAUUCUGUUAUCCUGCCUCGAUUUAAUUAUGCGGCCACAGAAAGGAGAAAUUGGAAACUGCUUCACCUCCAAAGGCAGAUCCGCGCACCAGGGUGAGGAGUGUUUGUAGAGGGAGCAGAGAGAACGCCCACGCCCGCUCACGCCCCUCUCCUCCGCGCCACGGCCGCUGUCCCGGAAUACCCAGGGCACCCCAUAAACAGGAUUUGCUUUGGGUGCUGGGAAUCUGCUGAAAAUAUCCCGUACCCAAAUAAGUGAUGGAAAAUGUAAAUGCAGGUGGAAUGAAUUUGCACGACUAGAACAUUCUUCCUCUUCUCUGAUUCUCCAGCUGUGCAUAAGCCUCCACGGAAGACAGGGACAGAGGUGGGCGAGGGUCGUCCCUUCUUCCCUCUGCGAACCGUGCUGGGUAACUGAGCACGCGGCUGCGCGUCACCCAGCGUGGACCCCCUCUCGUGGAAACGGGAACCCAAUUCCACCCGGGCUCCCCUCCUGCGGCUGGCAGCCUGGGAAGUGUGUCCGGGUCGGGCAGCCAUCAGAGCCCAGAAGGGCAGUUUCUUUCAUCAGUCGGGGACAGGGACUCUCUCUCUCCCCCAGGGGACCAGGACAAAGGACCUCGUAGGGCUGUCCCCGUGGCAGCCAUAUGCAGCUUUGUGGGGCCUGAGAAGAGGGCCGGUUCCAGGAAGUGGGGAGAGAGACCCCAUCGUGGCUGCCUCAGUCGAUGCCCAGGCUCCGGUGUGCGGGCCCCUCCUGUCCAUUUACGGCAGAGCAGGGGGGACACUGGGGGACACAUCAGGGUGGGGGUCGCGAUCCGCCUGGUCCUGUUCCACCACGUGACGGGCAGGCAGCGGGAGGAAGGCCAGGUCCUAGGUGGCCAGUCACACCCUGACACUGGAUCCUCCCAGCUGCUUGUCACCUGACGAGACGUGGCCCUGCCACCAGGUGGGGGUGAUUGUCACCCCGGCAGGCGGCACCAGGGAGUCUCAAGACCGCUGCCAGCCCUGGGCCCCCUCAGGGGAGGUGGGGCUUGCUUCUGGGGUGACGGCACCAGACCAACACUUGGCCUGCGUCCCACGUUCACUGGGUCACCGUGGGGCCGCAGCGAGGAAGAGUCCUCAGGUGGGAGGAUUUCUGGAAUGUAGAAUAGAAGCCGGCCUCUUGAGUCCGCACACAGGCCGGUAGCUCUCCCGAAAAUCCCGUGUCUGCCCUAACCUCCCGUCACUCUCGCAAGCGGUCGUCGGCUUCCGUCCGAACAUUUCUAGUGACGGGUGACCCGUGCACGUGUUCAUUCAACAAACGCUUAUUAAACGUGUGCGGUCACUUACCCUCCCUGUGCCUCCAUGUCAUCGCCCACGAAAUGGAAACGGUAACCCCACUGACCUCAAAGGCGUUGAGGAUUCGAGGAAUAGACAAACGUGCUUAAAUAUACGCACGCGCUGAAUACGAAUGCAGGUACUUUCUGUCGUGCGUACGCUAAGGUGCUUAAUAGUUGCUCCAGCUCCUAGCAUGCCUGGCGGUCACGGCGGGGCCCCUGACUGCUGUGGUUCCUGCUUCCCCCCCCCCCCCAGUGCUCCGACCCACACAGGCCCCUGGAGCAGAGGUGCAGAAAGCAGGUCCCCGGCCUGGGGAGCCAGCACGAGGAGGCCAAGAGGAUUACGUGUUAUUAUGUGUCCAUUCGUGUAUGAAGUCAGGUAGCGGUGCGUGGAACAAAGGAGUCAGAGCAGAUGGGGCGUGUGAGGGCAGUGCCCUCUUGGCGGGUUUGGUGAGCGAGGCCUCCCCCCUGAGCGGGAGCCUGGGUCAGGCCGAGGGCACCCGAGGACGGCAGGGUCAGGGAGGAAGCCUUGGCUGACCGUCAAGGCCCCAGGGGCGCCCCGCUGGGGGUGAAGGUGGCAGGAAGUGAGGGCCGGCGGGGUGCGGGGCUGGACCCGUGACCUGGAGAUUUCUUCUAAGCGUGACGGGGCCCGUCCCGGGGCUUUGCGCAGAGGGGCGCCAGGCACCCCUGUUUUGAAGGCUCUCGCAGCCUCUGGGUGAAGAAGAUGCACCGUACAGGGGCGAGAGAGUCCGGGGAGGAAGGAGGCUUCUGUGUGCGCUGCUGGGCCAGGGGCACGGAUGCAGGGUCGGGGAGGGAGGGAGGCCUCCGCAGCAGGGCGUCGGGACCAAGGUGGAAAGCCUGAGCGGGGCUUGGGCCUGAUCCGGAACUAAGAAGUCUGAUGUAGAUGUUUAGCCUGAGAUGCCCCUUGUCCGUGUCUCCACCUGCACGUCGGAGCUCAGGGGAGAGGCCCGAAGGCCUCAGGCGGCUGGUCUAACCAGGAAACUGAGGGCAAAACAGCAUUACAACUUCUGUUCCCUGGCCUCGGCUCAUCUCCCUAGGGUCUCCACUGCUCUUUGUGGCUCCAGCGUAAAUGCUUUUCCUCCUAAAAGACCUUCUGAAGCGUGAAGUGGUCAUCGAGGCCCCCGGGGUUGGGUGCAGCUCGCCCACUGGGCUCCCGUCGAGCCGCGACGUGCCGCUGGCCGCUCUCCUCUUGGGCGCUCAGUUGACUUGGCGCAGCCCAAGUAUCUGCUUAGGAGAUACUUCUAGUCUCCGUUUUCUGUUUCCUCCUUUCCUCAGUGGUAGGAAGGUCUCUGUCAUGGGAGAAGGGACAGGCAACAGAAUGCCUCACGGAACAGUUUCUGUGAGGGCCAGCCCCGACCCCAGUGGUUGCUAGAGGGCUGAGCUCAUUAAUUUGGCCUCUCGGAGCCCGGUUCAAAAAGACGAAAACUUAAGAAUAUCCAUCCCGCUUUUCCUUCUCCAUGUUGGCCGGUAGCUGACUGUGAGCCAGACAGUCCUGGGUUCAGGUCCGGUCCUGGGUUCAGGUCCGGCCCUGUGGCAGGUGGUGGCCAACAUCACGUACCACGGUGCCUCUCAGGUGCCCUGCCGAGGUUGAUGCUCUGUACGCCGUCCCUACGUACCCUUGGUCCACCCUUCUGGGGUUUGGAUGAGCAUUUUCUAGCUAACGACCACCCCCGUUCCCUCUCGGGGCUCCCCGCGCCUCGGGACCUGCUCUGCCUUUAGCCAGGGCUUGGCCUUGGCCCCUGGUGGGCCUUCAGGCCCCGUCUGGAGCCCUCUGCUGACUUGGGUCGAGCUCCCUGGCUGGCCCUGUUUAACUUGGCUCUCAGUCAGGCAUCGGAUCCUCUGUGUCCUGUGUUUGCCACCGUGGGGGAGCGGGGACCUCAUCAAGGGCUCGGCCCAGCCCCCGCUCGGGCUCCUUUCAUGGUGUUGACCCGUGGGGAGCAGGUGGGGCCUCGGGUGACUGGCUUGCUGGAGAGAACCAGGUCACUUUCUCGGCACCCCGCCCCCCCAAGAAGAGAUGGUUGUGGCCAGAAGAAAGCUUUGGCCUCUGAAUUCCCCUCCCUCUCCCCCAGAGACAGCAGCUUUGGAGACCCUCGGGAAGGCUAGAGGGCGGCGUGGGUUGUUCGGAAUGUUGCUCAGUGGCUCACUGGUUAGCGUGAGGGACCCCCCGGAAAUGCAGCAGCCCCAGAGCGUCUUUGCAACGCCCCCCACCCCGCCCCCGCCAGGGUUUGCCUCACCAGGGUCUCCAGCCCGUCGGUUGAGUGAGUCGACAUCACCCUGAGUUCUCCUGCCAGCAAGGUGCCGUCGAGUCGACGCAAAGACGCCUCGAGUCUGAGAAGCUUCUGAGAGAUGGGAACUGCAGUGAGCAAUGUGACCCACUUAGCCGGGUGGGUCAGCCCAUCCUCUGACCAGGUGCUAAACGUCCUGGGAUGAGUCAACCACUCAAGUCCCUCCCUGAGUCUCUCCCUCUGAAACAGAGAGAACACGGGGCUCAGUGAGACCCGGGCUUCUAGGGCCAGCGGGGAAGGACCUCCUCCCUGUGUCCUUAGGCUGCUGCAGGCUGGCCCGCCCAGGCCCAGAGGCCGAGUGGGGGGCGGGGUGGGUGGGGGAACCGCAGCAGCCUCAGGGUCAGGUUUGAGAAGUAGAAGCGAUUGCCAGAACAUAUUCUGGAGGCAGCCUGCAUUGAGCCCCCGUUCCUGCCAUGGCUAACCCUCGGGCCCCGGAGACAGCCAAAGGGUUUGCAGCCUUCUUUCGAGGGAGUUCCUCGGGAAGACUUCAGCUAAUGACAUUAUGGAACCAGAGUUUGCAUUUGCAGGAGGCGUCUUAUCAAAACAGGUGCGUGGCUGGGGCACGCGCUCUGACCUCCCGCGAUCCCCCGAUCCCUCGGUGGGAGAGCUUGUCACCCUCGCCUCUAGAGAGCCAUUGCCGUCUGCAAGUGAAGCUUGAGUUCUCCGUUGGUGCUACAGGGCCAGGCGGCAGGGGAUGCCAGCGGCCGGGAGCCCGGGCUCUGGGAGCAGACGGGUUGACGCAGCAAUGACACCCUCUGGCUGUGUGGCCCCGGGGCAAGUCGCCUGACCUCCCUCUGCCUCCCUUCCCUCGUCUGUAAGAGGCCCCAAAGCCUCCCUCAAAGGGUGUGGUGAGGUUAAAGGAGCUACAGUUUGUAAAUCACCCAAAACAACGCCUGGUACAGAAUAACCGCUUAAGAGGGCUGAGGAAGACGCCUUCUCGUCAGCGAAUUUGUGGAAGAACCAAAACUUGCCCUCUGAGUGUUUUAUGCUAGUGGCGUCUUUCUAGAACCUACCCCACGCACCCCUGACUCCCCAGGCAGCGAAGUACCGUGCCGACUGUGAUCAGCCUGCUUUUAUGAGUUGGCAUCAUCACCGUGGACGGCCGGGUGUCCCCAGGGCCCCUCCAACUUUCCGCUGCUUGUACACUUGACCGAGGCUCCAGCUACAACGGCCCAGGUGGCAUUCUGUGGCAAGAGCAGAGUCGGGCACCCUGCCCUGGGGCAUCGCAGUCCUGCGGUUAGAGCUGUGUGGUCCUGAGGGUAAGGUGGCCCAAGGUGUGACUGCCGGAGAGACCACGGAGACCCGGCCUCUCCCUGGCAACCCCCACUGCUGGCACAGGUAGCCUUCAGCGUUUGUAGCUGUGCUCUGUCCCUUCUGUCCCUGGGGGGGCGGGGCCAAAGGAGGGACGGGCACGGGGGAGGGCCGCACUGGGCUUGGAGAACUGGGACCUUUGACAAGGCUUGGUGAGCUGGAAGCUGCCAGGGGCUCCCCUUGGCCCACCCAAACCCCUUUGGGCUGGUUUUCCCUACAAGAACCUGCUGCACUCAGUCACGUGCAGCUGUGCACACAGUUGGCACGUACGUUUCACUCCGAGGAAGUGGAGGGACCUGCCUUGCGGUGCCCAAGGCAGAUUGUCAUUUUGUGCCCUGAAGGGGAGGACUCAGGAGGGACUCCGGCUCCAGGCUUGGCGUCCUUGCUACCCGCAGUAACGCUGAUCUCGGGCGCGGGGUCGUAAGACCGCCGUGAGGUUACGUCAGGCGAAAGGGCAGAUUAGGUGGUGCUGGCCAAGCAGGGCCGCGUUGAGGCCGGCCGUGGCCCUGAGACUCCUAAGGGCCUGAUGCCGACUUGACGCAUACGGCACGAGAAACACGGAUGUGUGGCUCUUGCUGUGACUUAGGCUGGGGACCCAGAGCCUGGGCGCUCAGGCAGAGAAGUGGAAAUUCACCAGAAGCGUAGGGAGCUGAUCUCUUGGACGAACAGAAUUGUUUUCCCUCCGGGCCCUUGUGGACCCUGACCCCCUGCUCUCAUGCCCCUUCCCUCUGAGAGAAAAGCCCCCGUGUCCCUUACUGGUGCUCAGUUGGCCAGACGUGGCCACCUCCCAGGCCCCCUCACCGAAGAAAGCAAAUCAGGAGCUGGCGCGACAGGGACACGUGGCUUCCAAGUCUGGCUCCCCCAUCGGCUGCGUACAGCCAUCACCAGCAAGCUUCCCUCAGGUCCUUCCCGGGCAGAGAGACCCCGCCUCACCCCGUGACAGCACAGCGCAAAAAGCCACAGGACAAUCUUGUGUGCAUCCGUAGCCUCUUAUUAAGUAGCCGCGCGUACAGACACAGCCCCUCCUCUGUCUGUCUCCCUAAGGAGUGUCUGUGACAGACGGUUCAUCAGCAGGAACUGCGCCUGACGGUCCCAAGGCCAGCUUUGUGUGAUGGACGGAUGUGUUCAGCCUGCUGGGGUCAUCCUGUUUGGGGCUUAGUGGUCUCCAACCAACUUUCCCGGCGGGAUUAACUCUCAGUCCGUGUGCGCGCGUGUGCGUGCGUGCGUGUGUGUGUGUGUGUGUGUGUGACGACCAGAUUGAGAAAAGAACACGGGCCCUGAUCCUUUGUUUCCUUGGUGUUGCUCAGAAGGAAGUAGACUUUUCUCUUAUCAGCAGGAACGAAAAGGAAAUCUGACGUCCUCGGCCAACUCAGAUACCACAGGCUUUCCAAAGCAGCUUGGGAGUGGAACAUCUGUCGUGUAUUUCACAUGCCAGUGCCUCUCCGCGCAGCUCGACUGCAUUUACUUUUAACGGAACGUUGAGAAAUUCUCAUUCAGUUCGUCAAAAACGUGUGCGGCAUCUGGCCAGUAAAUUCAGUGGCACCCCGGGAAACCUUGCUCAGCUCAGGGUUCUUUGUUUCCUGUGGCUGCCAGGGUCGGGCUGCUGAACGCUAGCGUUCUAGGACAUGCUACGUCCACGAAAUCACGGGUUUCGGGCUUGGUCAGCAGGGUUCAAAACCUGCCCCCCCCCCCCCGACUUCGCAGCCUUACUCCUGCUGUGGUUCCUAAGCAGGAAUGCGCUCUCUCUCCAAGCCUGGCCAUUCUGGGCACAGAGGGAUCGAUGCCCACCUCGUGGCUGGUGCAUGGGCGCGUCCAUUAGAUGAGGUAUGGGGGGGCCUAGCACGUUAAGCUCCUCCUCUCCCGUGAAAAUUUUGUGCCAAAUAAAUACAUCAAAUAGAAAGCAGCACCCCCCAAAAAGCAUGCAUGCCUCUCCGUGAGUGUGUGUAUAGAACGUGCAGGUGGCAGGGCACCUGCGUGGCUCAGGGGGUUAAGCGUGCGACAUCGGCUCAGGUCGUGAUGUCGCGGUUCGUGGGUUCAAGCCCCGCGUCGGGCUCCGUGCUGACAGCUCGGAGCCUGGGCCCCGCUUCGGAUUCUGUGUCUCCCUCGCUCUCUGCCCCUCCUCCGCUCACGCUCUGUCUCUCUCGCAAAAUAAUAAACAUUAAAAAAUUAAGAAACAGAAUAGAAUGUUCAAGUGGCAUCGCUCCUCAUAGCCCUGACACAGAAACCGCCCAGAUGCCCAUAAGCGGCGGAGGUGAUAAAUACACGGCAGCAGGUUCCCAUAAUGGAAUAUUCUGCGGUGAUGUGAAUGAGCGGUCCGCAGCUACGUGCAGCAAAUAUAAUGAGCCUCGCAAACAAUGUGAGCGAGAGAAGCCUGAUGUGAAAGAAUACAAGCCGUCUGGUUCCAUCGGUAUAACCUAUGAGAACAGACAAAACCAGGCGUUAGGAUCGUGCCGGUGACUGUCUGAGGAGGUGAGCAAAGGGCAUCCGAAGCAGGCCCCUGGGAGGUGGGGAUAGGACGGUCCUGUCCUCAGAGAGCCGGUCACACAGCUGCGCUCGCUUUGUGCAGACCCACCGAGUUGCACACUCCCGUUUUGUGCACUUUUCUCUCUUCCGCUCUGAUAAAAACGUUUUUUACGCACACGAGCCCCCAGAAGGGUGCGGGAGGAGGGGAGCUGAGCUCCUCUCGUCACUGAUACGAACCGAGGAGCGCCCCCAAGACCUCGGGCCGAGCUAGGAGCUGUGUGCCGCGCUAUCCUGGUGUGCUGGAGACAGACUUAUUUGCCCGUUGGUAAAAGAAGUUGGAAACGCAUUGGGAAGACAGCCGGUGGGGGGAAGGGGGGGGUUCCGCAAACAGAUUUCCUUGCUUCGAGCAGCUGCGUUCUCUUUGCAGCACAGUAAUCAUUAAUGGCGGAGAAGGGCCGAUUUUUCUUCUUUCUUCUUUGCCUCUGACACCCACUGAUGAGUAGGUCGAAGACCAUAUAAUGGCAUAUUAAAGAAACAGGAGCGGUUUUCAGCACCAGGCAAUGGGAGAGCCUGGAAGGGGUGGGGUGGGGGGGUGAGGCAGGGGCAGGCGGAUGUCUUUCCGCCAGGCUUCCCUGUUCUCUGGGCAAGCUGGUGUGUACCGGGCCGGAGAGCUUGGCCAGAGAGACGAAAUGGGUCCAGGGAGAGGUGGGCGGUGAGAGGGUGUGUGGGAACGCGCGGAGACUCAUUGGCAGUUCUGCGUCCACCUUGCGGCCCUUCCUGCCGUCCUGAACUCAGGCCCCUCCCAGGGUGCUGGCUGGCCCCUCCCAGGGUGCUGGCCCUCCCCUCCCUCCCAUCAGCCCAUCCCCCCCUCCAUCAUCUUUGCUCUCCUGGGAGCCGUGGCCCCUGAGGCCUUCACGUGACCAUUGACUCAUGCCACAGUCUUAUUGUCCAACCAUACGACGUGGUGCACUCCUCUGAGGGCAUUUUGUCCUGCACGCGCCUGGUGAGGGUGUGGGACGGGCUCGUUCUGUGCCUCUGGUUCUCGGGGUCAGUGUGGACCCACGUCCUCGCCAUCUGCUGUCAGCAUUGACGAAGAGUGGGCCUAAAUGUCAAGGUCUACUUUCUCGGGCCAGCGGGGAGAGCCAGUAAGUGCCCCCGGUCUCCCCUCUGGAAGGACUGGGGAAGUGGACGAUAUGGAAGACGAGAUUGGGCCAGCCCGACACAAGUUGACUUCUUCUGAAGAUCGAACGGUUAAUCUCUGCUUCGUCCUUACAAAGGCGUACCGUAGAGCAAGACCGUCCGACAGAACUUCCUGCGCAAAGAUGGACGUGGGCUUGAUCCCUGCUGUCCUCUGCGGUAGCCACGAGGCGCGUGUGGCUGUUGAACGGCAGGAGCAGGGACGGUGCACCUGCAUUAGUUCGUAGGGCUGCUGUGACAAAACUCCACCAACUGGAGGGCUGAAAACAGAGAUUCUCUGUCGAGGCUCUGGAAUCGAGGUGCCUGAGGUUGACUCCUGCUGGAGCCUCAGAAGGAGAAUGUAUUCCAGGCCCGUCUCCUGCUUCCGGUGCUUGUUGGCAGUCCUUGGCUGCCCGCUGCUCCCUCCCAUGGCCUUCUCACACGUGCGUGUCUGUGUCCGGAUUUCCCUCUCCUAAGGACACCGGUCAUUUUGGACCGGGACCACCCUAAUGACCUCAUUUCAGUUUGAUUAGCUCUGUAAAGGCCCUACUUCCAAAUAAGGUCACAAUCACAGGUUUUGGGGGGGAUUAGGACUUCAGCACAACCUUUUGGGGGACGUAAUCCAACCCUUAAAAGCAAACGACGGACGGAAGUUUCUAUUUUAUUGAAUUUUGAAUAUGAGCAGCCACACGGGGCUAGUGACUGCCUCCCGGUCAGCACAGCUAUAGACUGGAGAGGGACAGUUUGGGUGAUUGAGCAUAUCUGUUUAGAGCUACCCUUUGGCCGGUAACUGCUCAAAGCUGGGUCACCUGCUUAUUCCAGUGAGGCUUCUGGGCGGCGGCCCCUGAGGGCCGGGAGGGAGGAGGGGGCGUGACUAACCCCCCGAGAGAUAGAGGAAGGAGCACUGGCCUUCCCAUGAGCCCUCCAUGCGUUUUACACACCCGCACAGAACGCACAGCACGGCUGCCUCCAACCCUUCGUGGCCUUGCCUGGACAAAACACCGGGCAUCCUGUAAGGUCCCUGCUCUGAUUUCCCAGGGAGGCUGUACGGCUUCUGCAGAGACGUUUGCUCUCUAAACGGGCAGGACAAGUACUAAGGGUCAUCUGGGGCUGGGUACAAAGCCAGACUCUCCCUGAACGGAGGGAAUGGAUGUGGAGAGUAAGAAACCGUGGCCUGGCCACGCAGGGGAAGCCGCUGCCAGGCCCGUCGUGGGGAUGGGGGCAUGCGGGCAGGGUAGUCCCCAGCUUCCCCGGAGCCCGAGGGAGCCCUUAGAGCCCUUGGCUCUCAGGGUGUGGGUGCCCAGCCAGCUUACUACCAGGGAACUUGUUAGAAAGGCACAGUCCCGGGGCCUCCGCCCCAACCACCGAAUCCCAGGCUCAGGGGUCGAGGCCAGACUGUGGUUCCACCAGCCCUGCUCGCGACAAGGAUCCUUGCUCUAGUCUGAACCGCUGGCCCGGAGUCGAGUUGUACGAGUCACCGGAGGAUCUCGGUAAAGGCAGAUUUGGAUUCUGGGGGCCAGGGCGGGGGGGACGCCUUGGCGUCUGUGUGUCUGACAGGCUCCCAGUGAUGCCGGGCGGCUGGUCCCCAGACUGUACUCCAAGGAACCGGGGUCCAAAGCACUAAGGUCCACAGGGGCCGGGCCUGUUCUCUGGCUCACCGUUCCCAGCACCUAGAACCGAAGGCGGGCGUAUAAUAUACUUCUAACCUCCUCGCUCGACUGAAAAUACUUUGGUGCCAGAGAGAGGGCUGCUGAAACUCACCUCGCCUCCCCUUGUGGGGGCAGAAAACGUCUCACGAUGACUUGCUCGGUGGCCUGUGUCCUACUAACUGUGAAGACGGAAGCCACGCUGCACAGAGCUACAGUGCAGGAUCUCCCGGGGACUAUUUCAUUAAUCUUAGGGGCAGCGAAAGACCAGCAGGCGUGGAGGUCUCCUGCAGAGACCUGCUGACUGUUCGCGAGCACGGAUUUGUGGCUGCCUGGGGCCAGCCCGCUUCCCCUCCGCCACCCUCUUGCUUCCCUACCUCUCUCCCCCGACGUAAGUGAUUCGAAUCAUUCUCCAGCCUCUUCCGAGAACGUGUCUCCUCCAGAUGUGCGGGGACGCAGCCAGCAGCAGCCUUACUCAGGGGAGGAGGGCGACCUUCGCCGGGGAUUUUCGGUCCUCGCCAGGCGGGACCCCCUGCCCGGAAACCCCGACGGCAGGCUCGCCCUCAGUGUAACUGUUCGUUCGGCUCCCCGAGAAUUUCUCGCUACAACUCAGGUCAGCCUUCGUGGCUGUCAACAGGAGACAAGCUGGGGUGCAGCGGAGGUGGGUGGAGGUCAGAGAAGGGGUGGCCUCAGCUGGGGCACUGGCGAGCCCGGGGGCCGGCAGCGGGCUUGCUCCCCUCCCCCCGUCCCUGCAGCUGUCUUAUUCUGACUUGGGGGGGGGGGGUCUGCCCCAGCUCCGCCCUCACCUGGGUCUCCAACCUACUUUUCUCCCUGGGGGGUUUAAAACCUAAGACCCUGCAUUUUCGAGGGUCCGCGACGGAUGGGAGGUUGAGGCUGAUGCUUUUCUCUUGGCCGUACGGUAUUUAGGCGAGGAAAAGAGGCCCUUGUCUUGAGUGGCCGGAGGCCCAGGCCUGCAGAGCAGGUGACCACCGCAGCAAAGGCCCCGGCUUUGUCCCCGGGAAGCCCCCUACCUUCCGGUUUGCCCGGGUCGCCAGACCAGCCUUGGCCACCGUAUCCCCAAUACGGUCCUGAGCGGGCGCCCAGCCCUGCAGCCUGUCAUCGGGGCCAGGAGCUGCCCGGGCUGCAUGUGGCGGUGAGAAGUCCCCGGGUGGGCAGGAGGGGUCUCUGACGGCACCGUUAGCUGAGGCCGCGGCUUGUCAGAGCCUCACUACAGACGGUCAAGAGGAAGGGGGAAGGGAGGGAAGGAGGAGGUCUGUGAGGCUCCCGCAGCCCCGGCAGGCGCGGGGCGGGAGACCCCGACGUGAGGCCCGACCACCGGGAGACCCUAGCAGAGGCCACACGGGGCCCUCGUUCUGGCAUCAGGCCCACGGCCUCAGACCCCGCGAGGGCUGGGGUGCUGGGCACGCAGAGCGGGGUCCGCCUCCCCUGCCGGAUGAGCUCCACACUGUUCUUGGGGUGCUAAGUCUGCGGGAGGCGGGGCCCGCGGUUUCCGCCCGUCCACCUGGCACUCGAGCCCCCGGGGGUCUGCCGGCCAGGGGUGCCCUGCGCAGUGGGCUGAGGGUCAGGCUGGCACCCGGCCUGGCAGCUUCCGCUCAGACCACCGUGCGGAGAAGCAGCUUUCAGCGCACCUUGGAAGCUAAGGUGCCCUGCUCCCCGGGGGAGGGUCCCGUUCAGGAGCUGGUUUUUUAUUUGCCCGUUUCACCAAUGGCUAAGCUGAGGCUCAGGUCCGAAGUGAGCAGCGCUGGUGAACGGCGGGGCUGGGGUCUGCCGCCGAAGUUCCUCGCAGAAUAGGCUGAGAGAGGGCAGGGGCUGCGUUUCCCACCAGGGUACCUGCAGACCCCUCCACGCUGGCCCUCGGGAGCGCCCGGUGAGCUCGGUGACUCCUGUCACAGACACCCGCUGCCGGGGGGCUUAUCCUCUCCGGGGAGCCCUCAGAAUAACUCCCGCUAUGGGAUUUGUGUCACCCCCCAGGGAAAGAUGAGAGGUCUCUCCUCAGAUGGCUUUCUUGGGAAAAGGCAGGCCAAAGAGAACCCUACGUGGAGGUGACUAGCUUCGUGAUGUGGUCACAGGGGAGGAGGGUCAGCCGUGACACGGGCGACCAGGUGAUCGCUGCUUUAAUUUACACAACACCGAGUCAGUGGACUGUGUGCCCAGCUGCAGGCUUGCCGCCCGGGGGACACACCCCCAACCGUCCCUCCCUCCAGUUAUGUCACUGCCGGCAGCCUCACCGGGAGUCAUGUAAAUGUCACAUUACCCUUGGCAAGGCUUCUCAGAUAGCGCAUCGGAAACUUGGCCGCGGGAAGGCAAGGAAUGUCUGACAUCUCCCUGGACUCCCUCCCGCUGCAGGCCUGGUGACCCACGCGGGGUCCUGUGACCGCGGCCCGGCAUCGCACACACAGAAUCUUCGGACCAAGCGGGGGUGUCGUGCUUGCGCGCGCGCUCUCUCUCUCAAAAAUAAAUAAACAUUAAAAAAAAAAAAGAAGAAAUCCCUACAGCUGCUACAACAUGGAUAAACCUUGAGGACAUCAUGCUGAGUGACGUAAGCCAGUCACAAAAGGAGAAACACCGGGUGAUUCCACGUGCGUGAGGUCCCGGGAGGGGUCAGAGUCAUAGACACAGAAAGUGGCAGGGUGGGGGGGCUCGGGGUGGGGGGGAUGGGGGUUAGUGUUUAGUAGGGAUGGAGCUUCAGUUUGGGACGACGGAAAGUUCUGGAGACGGAUGGUGCUGAUGGUUGCACAACGGUGUGACCGUAUUUAAUGCCACAUGAUCACUUAAAAAUAGUUAAGAUGGCGAAUCUGAUGUUCUUUGCAUUUUACAAUACAAAUAAAUUUUUAAAAAUGGUUCUGAUGAAUAAGGUAGCUUAUUCGCCAAGUUUUACUAACCUGUUUCUCGGAUAUUCAUAACUAUUCGUGUGCUUAGCACAGAGGUCCUUAAAAAACAGCAAAGUCCUUAUUUUACCGUAAUGUUCUAGAAUGGAGAAAGCCCCAGUGGUGACACAGUUGUACAGAACCCUCACAGUCUGUGGGCUCAGGCCGAUGCCAGGAGCCCCGUGGAGACGAUGACCACUCACCGACAUGUCCAAGGCCAUGGCUGCGGCUCUGGGCACCACUCAGCUGUGCCUGUCCAGAGGCCGCGAACGUGAGGCUUGGUGAGCCUGACCGCCAGGCCUCCCUCGGCCCCCUUCUCCCCGCACACUCUCUGGGAACUCUCCUCCCUUCCUCCACAGUGACCUUUGAACUCUCCUCACCUGCUCCCCUUCCCAAGGGGCCAGGAGGGCACAGGCUGGCCAGCUCGGGGGCUCCCAGAGCCCAGACCUCACUCCUGUCCCCUGCACAGCAGUGGUCACUCCGUCCUGUCUCCCAAAAUAAUCUUCCGGCCAGAGGGAGGGGGGAUUGUAGCUGCUGUUUUUAAUUGAACAGGCUUACAUCACACUGCCAAGGCCCCACUUCUACGGUAAUGUUUCGGAGUCGGCCUCCCGGCCCUACCUGUGAGUGCAUCCCAGCCCUACCCAUGUCUGUCACACCCCUACCCAGGUCUGCAUUCCAGCCCCGCCCGUGUCUGCAUCGCACCCCUACCCUGUCUGCGUCACAGCACAGCCCUGUCCUACCCAUCUUUCCCUCAAGGCCCAGGGGAAAUGACAUUAGUCCGGGCUGCAUAGACAGCCCCCCUCAAAAUCACGUUAGAGCUCUUUUUUGUUUUUACAGUCAAGUUUACGGACGUAUGGUUUACAUACAGUAAAAUUCACCCCUCUUAAGUGCGCGGUUCUGUGAGUCUUGACAAAUAUAUGUAAUUGGAUACUCAACACCACCAUUGAGAUAUAGAACAGUUCUGUCACCCCCCAAAAUUCCCUCGUGCCCCUCUAUGGUCAACUUCUUCCCACAUCCCCAACCCCCGGCAACCUAUAAUUUUCCUGUCCCCUAUAAUUUUGCUUUUUUCCCCUAUAAUUUCUAUUUAGAUGGUGAAAUUUAGCAUAUAGCCUUCUUUCACUUAGCCAAAUGCGUCAGAGAUGCGUCCCUGAUGCUUUAUAUCUCAAUGGUCCUUUCCUUUUUAUUACUGAGGAAUGUCCCACCGUUUGGAUGCACCAGCUCGUUUAUUAAUUCACCAGUUGAAGGACUUUGGGGAUUGUUUCCGACUUGAGGCAACUAUGAGCAAAACCACUAUAAGCAUUUGCAUCCCAGUUUUGUACGAACACGAGUUUUUACUUCUUCUAAAGUGGCCUUGUGGGGCUCUAUGGUAUAUGUACCUGUGACUUCGUGAGCAACUGUCCAACUGUUUUCCAAACCGACUGCACUAUUUUGCGUUCCCACCAGCAAUUCAUGGGAGUUUCCGUGGCUCCACACCUUGCCAACACUUUGUAUUGUCGGCUUUAGAAAGAAUGUAGCUCAUCUCGUGGUGCUCAGGGACAUCUCGUUGCUAUAAUGUGUUUAUCCCUAAUGACUGACGGUUAAUGAUGCCAAGUGUCUUUCAGCACGCAUAUUUGUCAUCUGUAUGCCUUCUCUGGGGAAGUAUCUGUCUUAACCUUAGCCUUCUGUUCACUUUUUUUUAUAGAACCAUUUGUUCUCUUGUUAUUGGGUUUCGAGCGUUCUUUAUAUAUUCUGGAUACAAAUUCUUUAGCACAUAUGAUUUGCAAAUACUUUCUCCCUGUCGCUUACCUUGUCUCAUUUUCCUAACAGUAUCUUUUGAAGGGCUUACGUUUUAUUUAUUUAUUUUUUAAUGUUUAUUUUUUGAGAGAGAGAGAGAGAGAGAGACAGAACACAAGUGGGGGGAGGAGGAGAGAGAGAGGGAGACACAGAAGCUGAAGCAGGAUCCAGGCUCCAGGCUGUCAGCACAGAGCCCGACGCGGGGCUCGAACCCACAGAUCGUAAGAUCGUGACCUGAGCCAAAGUCCGACAUUUAACGGACUGAGCCACCCAGGCGCCCCGAAGAGCUUACGUUUUAAAUUUUAAUGAAAUCCAACUCAUCCAUGUGUUCUUUUAUGAACUGUGCUCAUCGGGCGUUUUGUGGAACUAAGGUGUGCCACGUAGCCCUAUGAGUACUUACGGAGUAGGGAUUGUGUACCGAGCUGGGGAAACGAUGGUAAAUAAAAUUCGCUACCGAUCAUGCUUAGUGGAGGAGACAGGGUAUGUAAAGGAGUAAUGAUAGCAUACUAUAAUUUGUGAUGGUGGAACGUGCAAGGUGCAUAAACAGGAGGAAUAAGUUAGCUUGAUCCUAGGAUGACGCUUGGUCACCAGUGAUCUCGAGAAAGCAGCUUUACAAAAGAUGAACUUAGCCAACAAUCGAUGCUAAAGCUGUGGAGUGAAUCAGAAAGUAAAGAGAGAAAAACUUGCUCCCCUAGGCACAGGGUUCUGAUAUCAUUUCUCAUACCCCAGUUCUAGAAACCCAGCGGGGGGAGCUCCAGAGAGAAAAUUAGGAAGAGAGAAAAUUUACUAUCUGGCUACGACUGAGUCCGGAGAUCCUGGCCCUGUCCUUCUUCCCUUCACUCGUGUCCCCAGUGACCGCAUCUCCUUGGGGUCAUUUGUAGGGAACUGUCAUCCAGGUCAGCCUUCAGCAGGUUGGCCACGAUGAACAGGACCUAGAGUCUUUCAUGUAAAAACAACCUGGAGAAAGGGGAGGCUGGGUCACCAGAGAGACUGGUUGAGUAGGUCAGGUAUUUGGAAGGGGUCAAGGGACCUUCCAAACCCCAAAGUCCUAUACAUAGGAUGCUGGCUUCUCCUACCCAUAAAACAGGCUUGGGCACUUGUGGUCGAUGUAAGUCAGACACUGGAAGGUGAGGGAUUCUGGGAUCCCCAGAAUGAGUGCUUGUCCUCAUUCCCUCCGGUCGCCUUGUUACCUCUCUACUAAACACAAAGAAAAACCGAGGGAUGAUGCCGUCAGCUUUGCUCAUGGCCCUAAACUCCCAGAACUGCUGCCGUGUCGUUGUUGGAUUGUUGAAAGCGGAGGCAAAUCCCAGGCCUGAGGUUCUGGAUUGCCUCUAAAAGGACACAGCCGAGGGGCGCCUGGGUGGCCCAGUCGGUUAAGCGUCCCACUUUGGCUCAGGUCGUGAUCUUGCGCUUGGUGAGUUCGAGCCCCGCGUUGAACUCUGUGCUGACAGCUCGGAGCCUGGAACCUGCUUCGGAUUCUGUGUUUCCCCCUCUCUCUGCCCCUCCCCUGCUCACGCUCUGUCUCUCUCUCUCUCUCUCUCUCAAAAAUAAAUAAAACUUUUAAAAAAAAGAAGAAGAAGGAGACGCCGAAACCUGCGUUUUCAGCGUGAGACGCUCGACUCCCUUCUCUCUGCGGCUUUCCUCCCUCCCCUCUUCCCCCUUCACGGGGAAUCUACCCAUUCUUCCCUGGGAGCAGAUACCCAGUAUGGCCCGCGGUCCCUUUCUUCAUGAGCUGAAUGAGGAGAGUCCAGAGCGGCACCAUAGAAACCAGCACCGGCCCCAGAGGCAGCCUGGAUGCCUUCCCGGCCCGAGGCCUCCCUGGCCUCGCGCACGCCCGUCCGGUCUCACUGGCGCCUCACACCAGAGGGCCCGGCGUGUGGUGUCAGGUGAUAUGUUGAGUCAGCAGACCCACAGGAGAGCCCCGGCCGGAGUCCGUGGCAGCCGGCUGCAGCCAGCACCUGGCCUGCCCGGAGACCCAGCGGGCAGGCGACAGCCGGGCCGGAGUCGCUCACCCACAGACCGUCUCCCGCCCCCAGCCUCUGCCUCCCCGUCCCGCGUCGCUGAGCGUGGCCUCCAAAGCCGAGGUCUGGAAAGCGUGCUCCCGAGGCCCGAACGCCAUCACGCCUGGUAGAACAGAGUGUCUUAGACAUCUGGACACCACCCGAGACGUCCCUCAGGGAGGGGACAGUGGCUCAGAGCACUUUCUAGGUACCCACAUCCCCUGGUCGCUGCUGUUGGGUCCAGAGCGGGGAGGCAGGGGGGGAUCUGGGAGCGCCCUCGAGGGUAAGGUUAAACAGCCCGGGGACACUCCGAGGUGGGGCUUCGAGCGCAGCUGGCAGGGGCACACGUCGCCAGCAGCCUGAGCCCACGGUCUGUGGGAGGGAGGAGCUCUCAUCGGGGGUACCGCUUCGGUUCAAAAGGCCCAAACUGUGGGGCGCCCGGGGGGCUGGGUCAGCUCAGCAUCCGACUCUUGAUUUCAGCUCGGGCUAUGCCCUCGCGGUUCACGAGCUCGAGCCCCGCGUUGGGCUCUGCGCUGACAGCCUGCGUGGGAUUCUGUCUCCCUCUCUCUCUCUGCCCCUCCCCCGCUUGCCCUCUCUCUCAAACUAAGAAACGUUUUUUUUUUUUUAAGAGGCCCAAAUCAUGGGAAGUGUAGGAAAAACUCAAGGUAAAGAUUCUGAUCCUCAGAGCCCGCUCUGGAAGCUUCCACGUGCCGGGGUCCUGGUUAGGCGUGGUCGCUGGCUUCCCCUGAUUUGGUUAUCCACGCUGAUUUUCCACCCAAUCUUCUGGCUCCCUCUUCUCCCCGUGAGGGUCCCUCAGCGGACAUAGCUACUGGUUGCUUUCGGGGCCUGGGGGCCUCGACCCUCCCUGUGCUCCCAAAUCGGCAGAGUUCUGCCGGAUCUGCUGCUUUACGUCACGGUGACACCGCGCGCCCGGGACAGGCUGGCUUUGCCGGAACAAUUGGCCGGAACAGCACUGCAGUAAACAGGCAUCUUGGAGAAAUGGAGGUUAGAAAGACUCAUCUGAACUUGCGCGGAAAUCGACUCCUGACCUAGGAGCGCGUCCGAGCAGGGCAGGGCAGGGGGGGGGGUCCUGCCCGGAAACAUUCCAGCCCCACCUCUGGCCAAUGCCAGACAGCCUUCCCCCUGCCCACUGGGCACCUGGCGACUCCGCGGCUCUCUUACUGAAUUAGUGUUCUUCUCCUGUGUGCUCUCAGGAAGUGACGGUCACCGUACUGACCCAGGAAGGAACCUCAGCUCCUCCUGCCCCACGUCCAGUAUGUCCUGGCCACGGCUUGUCGCUAUCCACUCCUUCUGGGCAGUCUGCCAGAGGGAUGGGGGCAGCUGGUGGACGCGGAAGGAAGAGCCUGGGGCCGGCCAGUGAGAGCCCGCGUGCAGCAUUGUGGGUCCCAGGGGUACUCUUGGGUCUCACCCUCCCACCUCUGACCCCGCGCACCUGCUGUCCUCCUGGGCGAACACCUGCUCUUUCCUCUCGCCGACACAGAUGGUCUCCUCCCCGGGACUCCGUGGGUGCGAAGGCGGUGUCCGAAAGCUCUCACAGCCCCGGGCUGGGGGUCUAGAGACCCAAGUGAUGGCUCUGCGUGGUCCGGCUUCCGACCCAGCUGCUGCCCUCGGGCCUGACACUUCACCUCUCAGGGCCUGCGUUUCCUCCACUGUACAAUGAGGCCACGGGAUGUUUGUCUGCUGAGGUCCCUCAGCGCCGAUUCCCCCUGGCUGGGAUUCUUUUGGUGGGGACUACCCUGAUUCUGUCGCAUGCAGCCCAAUCGAUCUACACGGUAUCAAACACCUGUUGCUUUCACGAUUCCACAAAGAUCGUCGGCAGAAGGGACCCGCGCAGCUAUUGCCCCUUCGUUGGCACAUCCUUAGCGACCUGCUUUUCAGAAUCUGUUUUAGAUGGGAGGUGGAUUGUUCUAGAAUCUCUCCCUCUUGCAAAGCGACUGAGGAAUUUUUUUUCUCUCUUCCUUUCCCCAAGGAUUGACUUUUAGCUUCAACAUCAAAAGGCACCUAUGCUUUGCUAAAGUAGCAAGGGUUAUAUUUUGGGUUCACGAAGCAGACCUCGGACCUGCAGAUGAGUGUGAAGAGGGCACAGCUCUUUUUCUUUUCUUUUUUUUUUUUAAAUUUUUUUAAUGUUUAUUUUUGAGAGAGAGAGAGAGAGACAGAGUGUGAGCGGGGGAGGGACAGAGACAGAAGGGACACAGAAUCCGAAGCAGGCUCCAGGCUCUGAGCCGUCAGCACAGAGCCCGACGUGGGACUUGAACUCACGAACCGCGAGAUCAUGACCUGAGCCGAAGUCGGACGCUCGACCGACUGAGCCACCCAGGCGCCCCUGAGGGCACAGCUCUUCUAAAGGCCAGGGCAACACCAGAGGCUGUAGGGACCACACUGUAGGGACUGAUCUAGAGUCAGUCCCUGUUUUCAUUUUGUGUCCUUUUCCAGUUUACCUAUGCAACUAUCAACAUGCUUGAGCCCACUCCAUUACCUAACACCUAGGUCCAGACCCCUAUUGGGUGUGCACAGCCGUGUAAAACUAGUUUUUCCUGGAUUCCUUCUAGGAGAAUAAGAACCUCAGAAAAUGUCCUAAAAGAAUUUUGUGUUUUCUUUAGAGAAAGAAUUUUUCACCCACUGGAUUACCAUAACGCUUUGAUUCCCAAAGGACUCUAGACAGCCUCCAACAUAUUUUGAAUAGUUUCAAUGAUAAAAGAUUGCAAAACAGAUUCUUGGAGUCUAUAAGCAAAACUUGCAGCCUAAAACCCGACUUCCAGUCGACAUGUGAAUUGAGACUAAAGUCAAGGAUGGCCAGGGCCAAAGCCGUUGGUUUGUAAGGAGAUCCUAGGCCAGUCCUGAGACGAUAGCCUGGAAACUUUACCCCUAAGAGAGUGGGGGGGACCCGGCUGGGGUGGGUGAGGUGGGGAGGAUCUCAGGAAAGGGUCUUUUAGGAAAUGAGUGAUUCUGGAACAUUUGGAGCAAGAGCUGAAAAGGGGAAGGGCCCUGGGAGCACUGGCCAGUGGCUGAAGGAACACCUGGUGACCAGAGAUGAGGCACAAUUCAGGGUCAUCUGCAUGAGACUGCCGUCGACAGUGGGAAGAAUGAUUUCCCUCAGAGACCAGGCAGGGGGCUUGGGACUCAGAAGAGAACUUCCCCUCUUGAAGAAGAGAGCUAUGAGAGAGAGAGACUGAGAGAGAGAGCUGAGGCCCUGGUUCUACAUGGCCACAAAGAAUGGGAAGAACUUCUUCUAGAAGUUUCUUACCUACAGAAUGAGGAGUCUAUAUUCAAUUAAUGGUUCAGAACUUGUCUGGCCACUGAACCACCUGGGGAACUUCAGAAAACCCAGAUUCGCGGGGCACCUGGGUGGCUCGGUCGGUUAAGCGGGCGACUUCGGCCCAGGUCACGAUCUUGCGGUUCAUGAGUUUGAGCCCCGCGUCGGGCUCUGCACUGACAGCGUGGAGCUCGGAGCCUGUUUCGGAUUCUGUGUCUCCCUCUCUCCCCGCCCUUUCCCCACGCGCGCGCUCUCUCUCUCAAAAAUGAAUAGACGUUAAAAAAUAAUAAUUUUUUUAAAAACUGCUUAUGAGCGAGUCUCCCAUCCGAUGCAUAUUGAAUAUUUGCUCUUCUCCUGGGACAGCGGUCAGCGAGGACGUUUAAGAUCAGGAACAAGGUGAAUUUUCUCCUCUCUCUUGUUAUUCAGACCGUGCGCUGCCCAAGGGCAGGGGGAAGGGGGCACAUGUGCCCGCGCCCAGCACGCAGCCAUCUGGUCUACCUGGUUUAUGUUUCCCGACACAAGGGCUCGGUUUGCUCAAGGGCCUUGAUGUGCACAAGGGCCUCCUCCUUCCUCCCCGCAUCGCUGUCCUUCCGCAGACCCCUGCCGUCUUGCUCCCAGGGGCACCACUGUUCUGUCUCCUCCCCCGCCUCUCUAGACGUAGCUCAUGCCAGUACGGCCUGGCCCUGUGAAGUCACCAGCUCAUGGCUCCCUGGUGUCUGGAGCCACUUGCCUGAUGUCUUGCGUGGCUGCCAGGAGCCAUUUCUGUUGGCUCAGUGUGCCUAUUCACUUAUCCUGGCUGCCGCCCCAGGAAAAUCAAAGGCAUUGUUCGCUCUCGGAGGCCGACGGCAGCUCUAAACAAAGUCCUUAAGAAGCAGAAGAAGGAAGGAAAGCCUUCUCAGAAGAGCACAGCGGGGGAAACCUAUCUGUGCCCUGGGUACCGUGGCCACAGCCCGGUCUUGUCUGGGCCCUUCGGAAAGUCGCCUGAUCGGGGGCGGACGUGUCUUAUUUUCCGAGGCGCGGGCCCGGCUCCCUCCUGGUGUCUCCGCCGGGCUUUCCCGCCCUUUCUCCGAGCCCCUCCUGGGUUAGCGUUACACGCUUUUCACUCCAGGGCUCACCACGGGGCGUGCCUGGUUUGGGCUUCGGUGUGGUGUCGCCCCAGUUUCCCCAAGCGGGUCUCAAAGGUGGGAGUCGUCUGCUUCACGGGAACCUGCCCCCUCCUCCGCGCCGGCACGGGCCUGGCCCCCGGCAGCCGGCUGGGUAGACCGUGGCCUUCCUGAACGAUCGCGCUCUGGCGGUUUGCCCUGUGGUUGGGAGAGACAUUGGUCGAUUUCCAGGAUACUGGGGGAUCGUGGCAGCACGGCCCCACUCUCCUCUUUGUUGAUAAAUUGUGACACCGGCCGACAAAAGAGGGACAAGUUUAGGACUCCCUCACUGCCGAUUCCCCCUGGCUAGGAUUCUUUCGGUGAGGACCGUCCUGAUUCUGUCGCGUGCGGCUGGGUUCGUCUAUGCAGAACCGCCCCGCCUUCCUUCGUAGGAUGCCCCCUCCCUGCCCGGGUGAAACAGCAGAGAAGCGACCAGAAGGCUCCUCUCUCUACCCGCCUCGCCCGUCUCCGCUCUUGCCGGCUGGGGCGGAAGAGAAACACGUUUGGACGAGGCCCGCCCUUGCCUACGCCAGGCCACCCCGUGGGAGGAAUCCCGCAGAGCCCCAAGCCCACUCUCCUCCGGGACCCCCUUCCCUCCCACCCGCCUCUCACUUCUCUGCCACACCCAGUGCUCUCUAAGCUCCCCUGCCUGCCGGCCUGUGAAGCCCCACUUUCCGGAAGGGUCAUUCUCUCCCCGCGCCCCCCUCCCCCCAGCGUCUAGAGCAUCCUUCUGUCUUCGGCAGCAAGACCACCCACUCUGAGAGGAGGCCAGGUGGCAAGGUGGAAGGAUCCUUUGAACUUGGAAAGGUUUCGGUGAGAGGGGCUGUCUUGGGGGGCACGGAGAAUCACGCCGUUCCCCCAGAAACCGGUCGCUCCCGCCACCAGAUGGGAAGCCCACCCGUCGUCUCCUCACUGCACACGGUGCAGCGAGGUUGUGUCUAGGGCUGCGUGGCUUCUCCGCCGUCCUUCCUGCCCUCGGUCAGCAUGGGCUUAGGACCCUUCCAGGACUCACGUGGGGACGGCCCACAGAGGCCGAGCCACAGGAGAAGCGGGAGCCGCCAUUUGUGCUCUCAAGAGCCCUCUUAGGUGGCAAGCCGCUCAGUCUUGUUCUCUUUAAUUCCUCACACGUAGGAAGGAACGUUCUAGAUCCAAAGACCUCGCAAGGAAUUCUACCAGCUAUGACUGUCCCUUCCUUCACGGUGACUGGGCUUGAUCCCUGAAGAAUGUUGUAAAUGGGAGAGCUUGCAGACAGAGAGAGAGAGAGAGAGAGAGAGAGAGAGCGAGCGCCCAGGCCCGCCCUCGGAGUGCUUUCAUGUAGGUGGGGACACAGACCUCCCCUUGGGGCUGGUGGGGGCGGCUGGGAUCAGGGCAGGGGGCAGGAGACGCUUACAUUCGGUGUUAGCCAGCCUCUUGGCUCAAAAGCAGAAUCGGGGCUGGAGAAAGUAAUUUUCUGAAUAGAGGGCACAUCCACGUGAUACGAAAGUUGUAAAAUGACAAAGGGUGCACAAUGACGGUGUUUUCUGCCAGCCGUUCCCGCCUCCAGGGCUUUCACAGCCUUCCCCAGACACUCCGCACACACGGACGGAUACGUACAUACGUUCCCAUCCCCUUUUCCGGGACCAGAAAUGGUUUCAUUCUCUACGGAUGGCUCUGGGGUUUGCCUUUUCACUUGCCGCCGCGUCUCCGAGGUAAGGAUGAGGAAGCUCGUCGUGCCCCGUCGGGGAGCCAUGGCCAUCCCUGUGGAUAUGCGGUCAUCGCGUUAGCCUCUUCCCACCCGUGAGCACCUGCGUCUCCAAUCUCUGCUUUUACUUUAUUUUAUUUUGUUUUAUUGUAUUGUAUUUUAAUUUUUAAUUUUUGCGUAAUUUUGUUUGUUUGUUUACUUAUUUAUUUUUAGAGGGGGAGAGAGAGAAUCUUAAGCAGGGUCUACACUGUGUGGAUCCUGACCCGGGGCUUGAUCCCAAGACCCUGGGAUCGUGACCUGAGCCACAAUCGAGAGUCUGAUGCUCAAGGGACUGAGCCACCCAGGCGGCCCUCCAGUCCCUGCUUUCCAAAGCACCACUGUAUGGGGCGCGCCUGGGUGGCUCGGUCAGUUGAGCGUCCGACUUCGGCUCAGGUCAUGAUCUCACGGUCUGUGAGUUCGAGCCCCACGUCGGGCUCUGUGCUGAUGGCUCGGAGCCUGGAACCUGUUUCGGAUUCUGUGUCUCCCUCUCUCUCUGCCCCUCCCCUGCUCAUGCUCUGUCUCUCUCUGUCAAAAAUAAAUAAGCAUUUAAAAAAUAAUAAAAAAAAUAAAAGCACCACUGUCACGAAGGACCCCACACGCUCGCCGUUUAGCAAUUCUGCCCCUACGUCUGUGGAAGGAAAUCCCAGAAGCAGACUGCUGGGCCAAGGAGCAUGUGCGUGUGUAGCUUUGCUAGAUGUUGCCAAAGCACCUCCACAGAGGUACAUGAUUCGUCCGUGCCUCUGAACACUCCUCUGUAGGUGUGGUUUGAGCCAGUAUGAGCCGGAUCUGGGAGGAAAGUCACAGGCAAGAUGGAGGGGCUGGUCUGGAUUGUGCCCUGUGUUCGGACAGACACGGGUGCUUCGGCACCGAGGGGUGCUGGGCGCCGCUGGGCCUGUCCCUCCUUCACGCGGAAAGCCAAGACCCCUACAGGGGCUUCGCGGGAGGGCCUCUCACAGGCUGUUAGAACGUGGUUGGUGGCCCCAGCCUGGAGUCCCAACGGCCCCCCGUCCCUCUCCGUGCCUCUGUUGGGUCUCCAGCACUCGGCCUCGGAAAGCACCGGGGGGUGGGGGGGGGGGGCCUCUGUGUCCAGCGGCCGGGGGAGCAUCGGGAGCGCAGAACACAGAAUUCCCUGCUCGACGGUGCCGUGGGAACUGGCCUGUUCUGGGCCACGCUGUGACGGGCCGGACUAGCGGGCCAGCUGAGGACUCCCGCCGGAAGAGCCAGGGAAGGACGCGCCACCAGCCCGGGGAGGCGGGGCUCCACAAAGCAGCCCCCUCCGCUGCUCCCUCUGAUGACCCAGGCGCACCCCCUGGAGCCCCCUGGCUGGCAUCCUCGUCCCUCGCCGCUCUGCGGGCAUCGCCGGGGAGCGUUGGAGCCGUGACGCUAGAGAAGACCUGGGCCAGGCGGCCCCUGUCUCCCCCUGCCUGCCGGACCCUUCCCGUCUCCCCCUGCCCCCCGCCAGCUGGAGACCCCCCCAGAUCCCCCGUGCUUCAUCCUCUCUCCCCUUCCUCCCCCACCCCCAGCCCCGCCUCGCAGCAAGCCUGGCUUCUCAAGGCCUCUGGGGGAAAGCUUUUGUUUUUAAGAGUCGGGGGCUGUCCUGUUGGAGGCCUUUUUGUGCCUUAAGUUGAGACCCACAAACCCGUGGGUGCUAGAGUGUUCUGUCUCCUGCUGUCACCUGCCUCCCGGGGAUCUGCCUGGAGCGGGCCUUCCCACUCGGGAUGGCUUCGUGGGAAGAGCGGCUCCCUAGAAGACGACGCUCCUCCUUCGACGGGUUCCUUCCGAAAUGCCCACCAGGGACCUACGUGCCCCCCACGCUCUCUGGGCUCGGGGAGGCAGAGAAGACGCGAGCUGAGCUGGAGCCUUAGGCCCUUCGUGCUCUCUUGUCCCGCCUUGCCUGCUGGGGCAAGCGUCUUCCAGGAACCUUCCUUCCCCUCGCCAGGCCGGCGCUGGCCGCUGUGGGGACCCAGCAGUGUGGCCCAGAGCCCCUGCCCCACAGACAAAGGGCGGCUUCUGUGGGGGACAGAAGACUGACGCGGUUUCACGCUUGGCUUUAGCGUGAAACAUCUUCUCGUUCCCUGGUCACGUGCUGCACAGAUACGACGUGCUCCUGGGUCCGGGGGAGCGAGAAGCCACAGGCCGUGGCGUCAGGAAAAGGAGGUCGGUUGAACUGACUCCUGAGGAGUGGGAGGCCCCUCCGGGGAGCGAGGACGGAAGCAGAGAAGGGAGCACUCGUGUCUCCGUGUGAGCAGAGGGGUCUGGAACGCGGGACACGGCAGGUAACCCCCGGGCUCCGUCUCCCGACAUCCUUGCUUUGUCUUGCGUGGCUUAACGUUUGGGCUGAAGCCGAGGUGUCAGCAGGGCCGUGCUCCCUCCGAGACCCUGGGUAGCGACCUCCGGUGCCUCUUUUAGCUUCUGGUCGCCGACGGGGCUUGGUGCUCCUUGGCCUAGGGAUGCAUCACUUCGGUCUCUGCCUCUCUCGUCACCUGGCUUCUCCUCUGAGUGUGUGUCCAUUUCUACGGCUUCUCCUCUCAUAAGGACACCGGUCCCGUCGGGUUAAGAGCCCAGCCUACUCCAGCGUGACCUCAUCGUAACCUGAUGGCCUCUGCAAAGACCCUCUUCCCUAUCCGUGUGACUUUUCACUUUGUCACUUUGCGAGGCCCCUUCCCAGGCCUGCUCCUCCUCCCGCGUCCCCUCGGCAUUCACCCUCGUGGCCAACUCUCGCCUCCGCAAACUCACGGUGGCAAGAUUUAGGUUGCGCAUUUUGACGGUCAUCGCACGUUUCGUCUGGUUCUUAGUCGUCACGUGACCUUCCGCAACGCCGACCUUUGUCUCUGUGGCCUACUUUAUGAACUUCCCUACCCUGGUUCCACUCCGUGUGCUCUGGCCACACGCUCUGCAGGGGAGGAGUACGUUGAUAAAGGGGCACCUGGGUGGUUCAGUCGGUUGAGCGUCCGACUUCGACUCGUGGGUUCGAGCCCCGCGUCGGGGCUCUGUGCUGACGGCUCGAGGCCCGGAGCCUGCUUCGGAGUCUGUGUCUCCCUCUCUCUCGGCCCCUCCCCUGCUCACCUCUGUCUGUCUCUCUGUCUCUCAAAACUAAUCAUUAAAAAAAAAAAAAAAUACGUUGAUACGAGCUUGUCCCCAACAUUCAGAAUUUAGUAAUUCAGAUUCUUGCCAUUUGAGAUUUGGGGCUCUGAGAAGUGGAAGAGCCCUUCUCUUGCCUUCUUCUGUCUCAGCCAGACUCCUAACAGCUCUCGUGGUCUCCUCCUCAGCCUCAGGCCUCUCCUCCUCUCCGUCGACACCCACCCAAGCGGCCAAGCAGCACACGUUUCCUCUCGAAUCCUACAAGCAUGAGCCUGAGCGACUGGAAAAUCGCAUCUAUGUCUCCACUUCCCCUCCGGACACAGGCCAGAGGUACUGCCCGUCCUCCUUCCAGAGCACAGCCGGG
Molecule: long non-coding RNA, 49464 nt
Filed under: Lynx pardinus (Iberian lynx)
Lineage: Eukaryota; Metazoa; Chordata; Mammalia; Carnivora; Felidae
Rfam family: tRNA (bases 2783-2867)
Source: RNAcentral